RNAcentral lists this long non-coding RNA (47459 nucleotides) under Arabidopsis thaliana (thale cress). RNAcentral describes it as "long non-coding RNA (ATHA_LNC000153)". Lineage: Eukaryota; Viridiplantae; Streptophyta; Magnoliopsida; Brassicales; Brassicaceae. The record is from RNAcentral.
GGGAUGCAACACGAGGACUUUCCGGGAGGUCACCCAUCCUAGUACUACUCUCGCCCAAGCACCCUUAACUGCGGAGUUCUGAUGGGAUCCAGUGCAUUAGUGCUGGUAUGAUCGCAUGUGUUACUACAUGCAAUGUAAUCGUAUCUAUUCUUUUUUAAAGAUUAUAUGAUCCAUUUGCCGUGGGUCCCACCAGCUAUGUAGGAAUACCCUAUCUUCUUUAUAAGAGCUUUGAUACAUGCAAAAUAUUGGAAAACAAUGUCCGAACAUAUAAUUUUCCCCCCGUAAUAUAGCAAAGAUCACGAAAAGGCCCAAAAAAGUACAUUUAGGUCAAAAUUUGGAGUUGAAAAAAAACAAAAAGAAGAAUUCCAUUUUCCUUCCUCAUUCAUUGGAGAGCUCUCUUUGGGCUUUCCGAAAAGGUAUCACAUGCCAUGUUUAGCCUCACGGUCUAAAAGUUAUAGAGUCAUACAUUUUUAACAAAACAAAAUAGAGAAAAACCAAAAAAACGAGGGAUGCAACACGAGGACUUUCUGGGAAGUCACCUAUCCUAGUACUACUCUCGCCCAAGCACCCUUAACUGCGGAGUUCUGAUGGGAUCCGGUGCAUUAGUGCUGGUAUGAUUGCAUGUGUUACUACAUGCAAUGUAAUCGUAUCUAAUGCUUUUAAAGACUUUAUGAUCCAUUUGCCGUGGGUCCCCACAAGCUAAGUAGGAAUACCCUAUCUUCUUUAUAAGAGUUUUCAUACAUGCAAAAUAUGGAAAACAAUGUCCGAACAUAUAUUUUCCCCCCGUAAUAUAGCAAAGAUCACGAAAAGGCCCACAAAAAGUACAUUUAGUUCAAAAUUUGGAGUAGAAAAAAAAACAAUAGAAAAGUUCCAAUUUCNNNNNNNNNNNNNNNNNNNNNNNNNNNNNNNNNNNNNNNNNNNNNNNNNNGGGUCCCACCAGCUACGUAGGAAUACCCUAUCUUGUUUAUAAGAGCUUUGAUACAUGCAAAAUAUUCGAAAACAAUGUCCGAACAUAUAAUUUUCGUCCCGUAAUAUAGCAAAGAUCACAAAAAGGCCAGAAAGAGUACAUUUACGUCAAAAUUUGGAUAGAAAAAAAACGAAUAGAAGAAUUCCAUUUUGACUUCCUCAUUCAUCGGAAAGCUCUCUUUGGGCUUUCCGAAAAGGUAUCACAUGCCAAGUUUGGAAUCACGGUUUAAAAGUUAUAGAGUCAUACAUUUUUAACAAAAAAUAAAGAGAAAACCCGAAAAAUGAGGGAUGCAACACGAGGACUUUUCGGGAGGUCACCCAUCGUAGUACUACUCUCGCCCAAGCACGCUUAACUGUAGAGUUCUGAUGGGAUCCGGUUCAUUAUUGCUGGUAUGAUCGCAUCCGUUACUACAUGCAAUGCAAUCGUAUCUAUUCUUUUUUGAAGACUUUAUGAUCCAUUUGCCGUGGGUCCCACCAGCUAUGUUGGAAUACCCUAUCUUGUUUAUAAGAGCUUUGUUACAUGCAAAAUAUUCGAAAACAAUGUCCGAACAUAUAAUAUUUGCCCCGUAAUAUAGCAAAGAUCACGAAAAGGCCAGAAAACCUAUAUUAAGUUCAAAAUUUGGAGUAGAAAAAAACCAAUAGAAGAAUUCCAUUUUCCUUCCUCACUCAUCGGAGAGCUCUCUUUGGGGCUUUCCGAAAAGGUAUCACAUGCAAAGUUUGGCCUCACAGGCUAAAAGUUAUAGAGUCGUACAUUUUUAACAAAAAAAAAAAGAGAAAAGCCGAAAAAAAGAAGGAUGCAACACAAGGACUUUCCGGGAGGUCAGCCAUCCUAAUAUUACUCUCGCCCAAGCACGCUUAACUGUAGAGUUCUGAUGGGAUCCGGUGCAUUAGUGCUGGUAUGAUCGCAUCUGUUACUACAUGCAAUGCAAUCGUAUCUAUUCUUUUUUUAAGACUUUAUGAUCCAUUUACCGUGGGUCCCACCAGCUACGUAGGAAUAACCUAUCUUAUUUAUAAGAGCUUUGAUACAUGCAAAAUAUUCGAAAACAAUGUCCGAACAUAUAAUUUUCGUCCCGUAAUAUAGCAAAGAUCACAAAAAGGCCAGAAAGAGUACAUUAAGGUCAAAAUUUUGGAGUAGAAAAAAAAACCCUUCCUCAUUCAUUAAAGAGCUCUCUUUGGCAUUUCCGAAAAGGUGUCACAUGCCAAGUUCGGCCUCACGGUCUAAAAGUUAUAGAGUCAUACAUUGUUAACAAAAAAAAAGAGAAAAACCGAUUAAAAGAGUUAUGCAACACAAGGACUUUCCUGGAGGUCACCCGUCCUAGUACUACUCUCGCCCAAGCACGCUUAAAUGCGGAGUUCUGAUGGGAUCCGGUCCAUGAGUGGUGGUAUGAUCACAUCCGUUACUACAUGCAAUGCAAUCGUAUCUAUUAUUUUUUGAAGACUUUAUGAUCCAUUUGCCGUGGGUCCCACCAGCUAUGUAGGAAUACCCUAUCUUGUUUAUAAGAGCUUUGAUACAUCCAAAAUAUUCGAAAACAAUGUUGGAACGUAUAAGUUUCGCUCAGUAAUAUAGCAAAGAUCACGAAAAGGCCACAAAAAGUACAUUAAGGUAAAAAUUUAGAGUAGGAAAAAAAAACAAUAGGAGAAUUCCAUGUUCCUUCCUCAAUCAUCGGAGAGCUCUCUUUGGGCUUUCCAAAAAGGUAUCACAUGCCAAGUUUGGCCUCACGGUCUAAAAGUUAUAGAGUCAUACAUUUUUAACAAAAAAAAAUAGAGAAAAACCAAAAAAAAGAGGGAUGCAACACGAAGACUUUCCUGGAGGUCACCCAUCCUAGUACUACUCUCGCCCAAGCACGCUUAACUGCGGUGUUCUGAUAGGAUCAAGUGCAUUAGUGCUGGUAGGAUCGCAUUCGUUACUACAUGCAAUGCAAUUAUAUAUAUUCUUUUUUGAAGACUUUAUGAUCCAUUUGCGGUAGGUCCCACCAGCUAUGUAGGAAUACCCUAUCUUGCUUAUAAGAGUUUUGAUACAUGCAAAAAUAUUCGAAAACAAUGUCCGAACAUAUAAUUUUUGUCCCGUAAUAUAACAAAGAUCACGAAAAGGCCAAAAAUAGUACAUUUCGGUCAAAACAUGGAGCAGAAAAAAAACCCCUUCCUCAUUCAUCGGAGAGCUCUCAUUGGGCUUUCCGAAAAGAUAUCACAUGCAAAGUUUGGCCUCACGGUUUAAAAGUUAUAGAGUCAAAUAUUUUUAACAAAAAAAAGAGAGAAAAACCGAAAACAAAGAGGGAUGCAACACGAGGACUUUCCGGAAGGUCACCCAUCCUAGUACUACUCUAGCCCAAGCACGCUUAACCGCGGAGUUCUGAUAGGAUCCGGUGCAUUAGUGCUGGUAUGAUCGCAUCAGUUACUACAUGCAAUGCAAUCAUAUAUAUUUUUUUUGAAGACUUUAUGAUCCAUUUGCCGUGGGUCCCACCAGCUAUGUAGGAAUACCUAUCUUGUUUAUAAGAGCUUUGAUACAUGCAAAAUAUUUGAAAACAAUGUCCGAACGUAUAAUCUUCGUCCCGUAAUAUAGCAAAGAUCACGAAAAGGCCAGAAAAAGUACAUUAAGGUCAAAAUUUUGACUAGAAAAAAAAAACAAUAGAAAAAUUCCAUUGUCCUUCCUCAUUCAUCGGAGAGUUCUCUUUGGGCUUUCCGAAAAGGUAUCACAUGCCAAGUUUGGCCUCACGGUCUAAAACUUAUAGAAUCAUACAUUCUUAACAAAAAAAAAAAAAAAACCGAAAAAAAGAAGAAUGCAACACAAGGACUUUCCAGGAGGUCAACCAUCCUAGUAGUACUCUCGCCCAAUCACGCUUAACUGCAGAGUUCUGAUGGGAUCCGGUGCAUUAGUGCUGGUAUGAUCGCAUCUGUUACUACAUGCAAUGCAAUCGUAUCUAUUCUUUUUUGAAGACUUUAUGAUCCAUUUGCCGUGGGUCCCACCAGCUAUGUAGGAAUACCUUAUCUUGUUUAUAAGAGCUUUGAUACAUGCAAAAUAUUCGAAUACAAUGUCUGAACGUAUAACUUUCGCCCCGUAAUAUAGCGAAGAUCACGAAAAGGCCCGAAAAAGUACAUUAAGGUCAAAAUUUCGAGUAGAAAUAAAAACCAAUAGAAGAAUUCCAAUUUCCUUCCUCAUUCAUUGGAGAGCUCUCUUUGGGCUUUCCGAAAAGGUAUCACAUGCGAAGUUUCGCCUCACAAUCUAAAAGUUAUAUAGUCAUACAUUUUUAACAAAACAAAUAGAGAAAAACCGAAAAAAAGAAUGAUACAACACAACGACUUUCCCGGAGGUCACCCAUCCUAAUACUAUUCUCGCCCAAGCAAGCUUAACUGCAGAGUAUUGAUGGGAUCUGAUGCAUAAGUGCUGAUAUGAUCGCAUCCGUUACUACAUGCAAUGCAAUCGUAUCUAUUCGUUUUUGAAGACUUUAUGAUCCAUUUGCCGUGGGUCCCACCAGCUAUGUAGGAAUACCCUAUCUUGUUUAUAAGAGCUUUGAUACAUGCAAAAAAUUGGAAAACAAUGUCUGAACAUAUAAUUUUUGUCCCGUAAUAUAGCAAAGAUCACGAAAAGGAUAGAAAAAGUACAUUAAGGUCAAAAUUUUGAGUAGAAAAAAAAUCAAUAGAAGGAUUCCAAUUUCCUUGCUCAUUCAUAUAGCUCUCUUUGGGCUUUCCGAAAAGGUAUCACAUGCAAAGUUUGGCCUCGCGGUCUAAAAGUUAUAGAGGUAUACUUUUUUACCAAAAAAAAAGAAGAAAAAAACCAAAAAAAAGAGGGAUUCAACACGAGGACUUUCUGGGAGGUCACUCAUCCUAUUACUACUCUCGCCCAAGCACGCUUAACUGCGGAGUUCUGAUAGGAUCCAGUGCAUUAGUGCGGGUAUGAUCACAUCCGUUACUACAUGCAAUGCAAUCGUAUAUAUUUUUUUUGAAGACUUUAUGAUCCAUUUGCCGUGGGUCUCACCAGCUAUAUAGGAAUACCCUAUCUUGUUUAUAAGAGCUUUGAUACAUGCAAAAUAUUUGAAAACAAUGUCCGAACGUAUAAUCUUCGUCCCGUAAUAUAGCAAAGAUCACUAAAAGGCUAGAAAAAGUACAUUAAGAUCAAAAUUUUGAGUAGAAAAAUAAACAAUAGAAAAAUUCCAUUGUCCUUCCUCAUUCAUCGGAGAGUUCUCUUUGGGCUUUCCGAAAAGGUAUCACAUGCCAAGUUUGGCCUCACGGUCUAAAACUUAUAGAAUCAUACAUUCUUAACAAAAAAAAAAGAGAAAAACCGAAAAAAAGAAGAAUUUAACACAAGGACUUUCCAGGAGGUCAACCAUCCUAGUAGUACUCUCGCCCAAUCACGCUUAACUGCAGAGUUCUGAUGGGAUCCGGUGCAUUAGUGCUGGUAUGAUCGCAUCUGUUACUACAUGCAAUGCAAUCGUAUCUGUUACUACAUGCAAUGCAAUCGUAUCUGUUACUACAUGCAAUGCAAUCGUAUCUAUUCUUUUUUGAAGACUUUAUGAUCCAUUUGCCGUGGGUCCCACCAGCUAUGUAGGAAUACCCUAUCUUGUUUAUAAGAGCUUUGAUACAUGCAAAAUAUUCGAAUACAAUGUCUAAACGUAUAAGUUUCGCCCCGUAAUAUAGCGAAGAUCACGAAAAGGCCCGAAAAAGUACAUUAAGGUCAAAAUUUGGAGUAGAAAUAAAAACCAAUAGAAGAAUUCCAAUUUCCUUCCUCAUUCAUUGGAGAGCUCUCUUUGGGCUUUCCGAAAAGGUAUCACAUGCGAAGUUUGGCCUCACAAUCUAAAAGUUAUAUAGUCAUACAUUUUUAACAAAACAAAUAGAGAAAAACCGAAAAAAAGAAUGAUACAACACAAGGACUUUCCGGGAGGUCACCCAUCCUAAUACUAUUCUCGCCCAAGCAAGCUUAACUGCAGAGUAUUGAUGGGAUCUGAUGCAUAAGGGCUGAUAUGAUCGCAUCCGUUACUACAAGCAAUGCAAUCGUAUCUAUUCGUUUUUGAAGACUUUAUGAUCCAUUUGCCGUGGGUCCCACCAGCUAUGUAGGAAUACCCUAUCUUGUUUAUAAGAGCUUUGAUACAUGCAAAAAAUUGGAAAACAAUGUCUGAACAUAUAAUUUUUGUCCCGUAAUAUAGCAAAGAUCACGAAAAGGAUAGAAAAAGUACAUUAAGGUCAAAAUUUUGAGUAGAAAAAAAAUCAAUAGAAGGAUUCCAAUUUCCUUCCUCAUUCAUAUAGCUCUCUUUGGGCUUUCCGAAAAGGUAUCACAUGCAAAGUUUGGCCCCGCGGUCUAAAAGUUAUAGAGGUAUACAUUUUUACCAAAAAAAAGAGGGAUUCAACACGAGGACUUUUUUNNNNNNNNNNNNNNNNNNNNNNNNNNNNNNNNNNNNNNNNNNNNNNNNNNUGCUGGUAUGAUCGCAUCAGUUACUACAUGCAAUGCAAUCAUAUAUAUUCUUUUUUGAAGACUUUAUGAUCCAUUUGCCGUAGGUCCCACCAGCUAUGUAGGAAUACCCUAUCUUGUUUAUAAGAGCUUUGAUACAUGCAAAAUAUUCGAAAACAAUGUCCGAACAUAUAAUUUUUGUCCCGUAAUAUAGCAAAGAUCACGAAAAGGCCAGAAAAAAUACAUUUCGGUCAAAAUUUGGAGUAGAAAAAAAGCCCUUCCUCAUUCAUUGGACAGCUCUCUUUGGGCUUUCCGAAAAGGUAUCACAUGCCAAGUUUGGCCUCACGGUCUAAACCUUAUAGACUCAUACAUUUUUCACAAAAAAAAGAAGAGAAAAACCAAAAAAAAGAGUGAUUAAACACGAGGAUUUUCCUGGAGGUCACCCAUCCUAGUACUACUCUCGCCCAAGCACGCUUAACUGCGAAGGUCUGAUGGGAUAUGGUGCAUUAGUGCUGGUAUGAUCGCAUCUGUUACUACAUGCAAUGCAAUCGUAUCUAUUCUUUUUUGAAGAUUUGAUGAUUCAUUUACCGUGGGUCCCACCAGCUAUGUAGGAAUAACCUAUCUUAUUUAUAAAAGCUUUGAUACAUGCAAAAUAUUCGAAAACAAUGUCCGAACAUAUAAUGUUCGCCCCAAAAUAUAGCAAAGACCACAAAAAUGCCAUAAAAAGUACAUUAAGGUCAAAAUUUGGAGUAGGAAAAAAAUCAAUAGGAGAAUUCCAUUUUCCUUCCCUCAUUCAUCAGAGAGCUCUCUUUGGGCAUUCCAAAAAGGUAUCACAUGCCAAGUUUGGCCUCACGGUCUAAAAGUUAUAGAGUAUUACAUUUUUAACAAAAAAAAAAGGGAAAAACCGAAAAAGAGGGAUGCAACACGAAGACUUUUCUGGAGGUCACCCAUUCUAGUACUACUCUCCCCCAAGCACGCUUAACUGUGGUGUUCUAAUAGGAUCAAGUGCAUUAGUGCUGGUAUGAUCGCAUCAGUUACUACAUGCAAUGCAAUCAUAUAUAUUCUUUUUUGAAGACUUUAUGAUCCAUUUGCCGUAGGUCCCACCAGCUAUGUAGGAAUACCCUAUCUUGUUUAUAAGAGCUUUGAUACAUGCAAAAUAUUCGAAAACAAUGUCCGAACAUAUAAUUUUUGUCCCGUAAUAUAGCAAAGAUCACGAAAAGGCCAGAAAAAAUACAUUUCGGUCAAAAUUUGGAGUAGAAAAAAAGCCCUUCCUCAUUCAUUGGACAGCUCUCUUUGGGCUUUCCGAAAAGGUAUCAUAUGCCAAGUUUGGCCUCACGGUCUAAACCUUAUAGACUCAUACAUUUUUCACAAAAAAAAGAAGAGAAAAACCAAAAAAAAGAGUGAUUAAACACGAGGACUUUCCUGGAGGUCAUCCAUCCUAGUACUACUCUCGCCCAAGCACGCUUAAUUGCGAAGUUCUGAUGGGAUCUGGUGCAUUAGUGCUGGUAUGAUCGCAUAUGUUACUACAUGCAAUGCAAUCGUAUCUAUUCUUUUUUGAAGAUUUUAUGAUUCAUUUACCGUGGGUACCACCAGCUAUGUAGGAAUAACCUAUCUUAUUUAUAAGAGCUUUGAUACAUGCAAAAUAUUCGAAAACAAUGUCCGAACAUAUAAUUUUUGUCCCGUAAUAUAGCAAAGAUCACGAAAAGGCCAGAAAAAAUACAUUUCGGUCAAAAUUUGGAGUAGAAAAAAACCCUUCCUCAUUCAUUGGACAGCUCUGUUUGAGCUUUCCGAAAAGGUAUCACAUGCCAAGUUUGGCCUCACGGUCUAAAAGUUAUAGAGUCAUACAUUUUUCACAAAAAAAAGAAGAGAAAAACCAAAAAAAAGAGUGAUGAAACACGAGGACUUUCCUGGAGGUCACCCAUCCUAGUACUACUCUCGCCCAAGCACGCGUAACUGCGAAGUUCUGAUGGGAUCUGGUGCAUUAGUGCUGGUAUGAUCGCAUCUGUUACUACAUGCAAUGCAAUCGUAUCUAUUCUUUUUUGAAGAUUUUAUGAUUCAUUUACCGUGGGUCCCACCAGCUAUGUAGGAAUAACCUAUCUUAUUUAUAAGAGCUUUGAUACAUGCAAAAUAUUGGAAAACAAUGUCCGAACAUAUAAUGUUCGCCCCAAAAUAUAGCAAAGACAACAAAAAUCCCAUAAAAAGUACAUUAAGGUCAAAAUUUGGAGUAGGAAAAAAAUCAAUAAGAGAAUUCCAUUUUCCUUCCCUCAUUCAUCGGAGAGGUCUCUUUGGGCAUUCCAAAAAGGUAUCACAUGCCAAGUUUGGCCUCACGGUCUAAAAGUUAUAGAGUAAUACAUUUUUAACAAAAAAAAAAGAGAAAAACCGAAAAAAAGAGGGAUGCAACACGAAGACUUUUCUGGAGGUCACCCAUCCUAGUACUACUCUCCCAAAGCACGCUUAACUGUGGUGUUCUGAUAGGAUCAAGUGCAUUAGUGCGGGUAUGAUCGCAUCAGUUACUACAUGCAAUGCAAUCAUAUAUAUUCUUUUUUGAAGACUUUAUGAUCCAUUUGCCGUAGGUCCCACCAGCUAUGUAGGAAUACCCUAUCUUGUUUAUAAGAGCUUUGAUACAUGCAAAAUAUUCGAAAACAAUGUCCGAACAUAUAAUUUUUGUCCCGUAAUAUAGCAAAGAUCACGAAAAGGCCAGGAAAAAUACAUUUCGGUCAAAAUUUGGAGUAGAAAAAAAACCCUUCCUCAUUCAUUGGACAGCUCUCUUUGGGCUUUCCGAAAAGGUAUCACAUGCCAAGUUUGGCCUCACGGUCUAAAAGUUAUAGAUUCAUACAUUUUUCACAAAAAAAAGAAGAGAAAAACCAAAAAAAAGAGGGAUGAAACACGAGGACUUUCCCAGAGGUCACCCAUCCUAGUACUACUCUCGCCCAAGCACGCUUAACUGCGAAGUUCUGAUGGGAUCUGGUGCAUUAGUGCUGGUAUGAUCGCAUCUGUUACUACAUGCAAUGCAAUCGUAUCUAUUCUUUUUUGAAGAUUUUAUGAUUCAUUUACCGUGGGUCCCACCAGCUAUGUAGGAAAACCUAUCUUAUUUAUAAGAUCUUUGAUACAUGCAAAAUAUUGGAAAACAAUGUCCGAACAUAUAAUGUUCGCCCCAAAAUAUAGCGAAGACCACAAAAAUGCCAUAAAAAGUACAUUAAGGUCAAAAUUUGGAGUAGGAAAAAAAUCAAUAGGAGAAUUCCAUUUUCCUUCCCUCAUUCAUCGGAGAGCUCUCUUUGGGCAUUCCAAAAAGGUAUCACAUGCCAAGUUUGGCCUCACGGUCUAAAAGUUAUAGAAUAUUACAUUUUUAACAAAAAAAAAGAGAAAAACCAAAAAAAAGAGGGAUGCAACACGAGGACUUUUCUGGAGGUCACCCAUCCUACUACUACUCUCGCCCAAGCACACUUAACUGCGGUGUUCUGAUAGGAUCAAGUGCAUUAGUGCUGGUAUGAUCGCAUCAGUUACUACAUGCAAUGCAAUCAUAUAUAUUCUUUUUUGAAGACUUUAUGAUCCAUUUGCCGUAGGUCCCACCAGCUAUGUAGGAAUACCCUAUCUUGUUUAUAAGAGCUUUGAUACAUGCAAAAUAUUCGAAAACAAUGUCCGAACAUAUAAUUUUUGUCCCGUAAUAUAGCAAAGAUCACGAAAAGGCCAGAAAAAAUACAUUUUGGUCAAAAUUUGGAGUAGAAAAAAAGCCCUUCCUCAUUCAUUGGACAGCUCUCUUUGGGCUUUCCGAAAAGGUAUCACAUGCCAAGUUUGGCCUCACGGUCUAAACCUUAUAGACUCAUACAUUUUUCACAAAAAAAAGAAGAGAAAAACCAAAAAAAAGAGUGAUUAAACACGAGGAUUUUCCUGGAGGUCACCCAUCCUAGUACUACUCUCGCCCAAGCACGCUUAACUGCGAAGGUCUGAUGGGAUAUGGUGCAUUAGUGCUGGUAUGAUCGCAUCUGUUACUACAUGCAAUGCAAUCGUAUCUAUUCUUUUUUGAAGAUUUGAUGAUUCAUUUACCGUGGGUCCCACCAGCUAUGUAGGAAUAACCUAUCUUAUUUAUAAAAGCUUUGAUACAUGCAAAAUAUUCGAAAACAAUGUCCGAACAUAUAAUGUUCGCCCCAAAAUAUAGCAAAGAUCACAAAAAUGCCAUAAAAAGUACAUUAAGGUCAAAAUUUGGAGUAGGAAAAAAAUCAAUAGGAGAAUUCCAUUUUCCUUCCCUCAUUCAUCGGAGAGCUCUCUUUGGGCAUUCCAAAAAGGUAUCACAUGCCAAGUUUGGCCUCACGGUCUAAAAGUUAUAGAGUAUUACAUUUUUAACAAAAAAAAAAGGGAAAAACCGAAAAAGAGGGAUGCAACACGAAGACUUUUCUGGAGGUCACCCAUCCUAGUACUACUCUCCCCCAAGCACGCUUAACUGUGGUGUUCUAAUAGGAUCAUGUGCAUUAGUGCUGGUAUGAUCGCAUCAGUUACUACAUGCAAUGCAAUCAUAUAUAUUCUUUUUUGAAGACUUUAUGAUCCAUUUGCCGUAGGUCCCACCAGCUAUGUAGGAAUACCCUAUCUUGUUUAUAAGAGCUUUGAUACAUGCAAAAUAUUCGAAAACAAUGUCCGAACAUAUAAUUUUUGUCCCGUAAUAUAGCAAAGAUCACGAAAAGGCCAGAAAAAAUACAUUUCGGUCAAAAUUUGGAGUAGAAAAAAAGCCCUUCCUCAUUCAUUGGACAGCUCUCUUUGGGCUUUCCGAAAAGGUAUCAUAUGCCAAGUUUGGCCUCACGGUCUAAACCUUAUAGACUCAUACAUUUUUCACAAAAAAAAGAAGAGAAAAACCAAAAAAAAGAGUGAUUAAACACGAGGACUUUCUUGGAGGUCAUCCAUCCUAGUACUACUCUCGCCCAAGCACGCUUAACUGCGAAGUUCUGAUGGGAUCUGGUGCAUUAGUGCUGGUAUGAUCGCAUCUGUUACUACAUGCAAUGCAAUCGUAUCUAUUCUUUUUUGAAGAUUUUAUGAUUCAUUUACCGUGGGUACCACCAGCUAUGUAGGAAUAACCUAUCUUAUUUAUAAGAGCUUUGAUACAUGCAAAAUAUUCGAAAACAAUGUCCGAACAUAUAAUUUUUGUCCCGUAAUAUAGCAAAGAUCACGAAAAGGCCAGAAAAAAUACAUUUUGGUCAAAAUUUGGAGUAGAAAAAAACCCUUCCUCAUUCAUUGGACAGCUCUGUUUGAGCUUUCCGAAAAGGUAUCACAUGCCAAGUUUGGCCUCACGGUCUAAAAGUUAUAGAGUCAUACAUUUUUCACAAAAAAAAAGAAGAGAAAAACCAAAAAAAAGAGUGAUGAAACACGAGGACUUUCCUGGAGGUCACCCAUCCUAGUACUACUCUCGCCCAAGCACGCGUAACUACGAAGUUCUGAUGGGAUCUGGUGCAUUAGUGCUGGUAUGAUCGCAUCUGUUACUACAUGCAAUGCAAUCGUAUCUAUUCUUUUUUGAAGAUUUUAUGAUUCAUUUACCGUGGGUCCCACCAGCUAUGUAGGAAUAACCUAUCUUAUUUAUAAGAGCUUUGAUACAUGCAAAAUAUUGGAAAACAAUGUCCGAACAUAUAAUGUUCGCCCCAAAAUAUAGCAAAGACAACAAAAAUGCCAUAAAAAGUACAUUAAGGUCAAAAUUUGGAGUAGGAAAAAAAUCAAUAAGAGAAUUCCAUUUUCCUUCCCUCAUUCAUCGGAGAGCUCUCUUUGGGCAUUCCAAAAAGGUAUCACAUGCCAAGUUUGGCCUCACGGUCUAAAAGUUAUAGAGUAGUACAUUUUUAACAAAAAAAAAAGAGAGAAACCGAAAAAAAGAGGGAUGCAACACGAAGACUUUUCUGGAGGUCACCCAUCCUAGUACUACUCUCCCAAAGCACGCUUAACUGUGGUGUUCUGAUAGGAUCAAGUGCAUUAGUGCGGGUAUGAUCGCAUCAGUUACUACAUGCAAUGCAAUCAUAUAUAUUCUUUUUUGAAGACUUUAUGAUCCAUUUGCCGUAGGUCCCACCAGCUAUGUAGGAAUACCCUAUCUUGUUUAUAAGAGCUUUGAUACAUGCAAAAUAUUCGAAAACAAUGUCCGAACAUAUAAUUUUUGUCCCGUAAUAUAGCAAAGAUCACGAAAAGGCCAGGAAAAAUACAUUUCGGUCAAAAUUUGGAGUAGAAAAAAAACCCUUCCUCAUUCAUUGGACAGCUCUCUUUGGGCUUUCCGAAAAGGUAUCACAUGCCAAGUUUGGCCUCACGGUCUAAAAGUUAUAGAUUCAUACAUUUUUCACAAAAAAAAGAAGAGAAAAACCAAAAAAAAGAGGGAUGAAACACGAGGACUUUCCCAGAGGUCACCCAUCCUAGUACUACUCUCGCCCAAGCACGCUUAACUGCGAAGUUCUGAUGGGAUCUGGUGCAUUAGUGCUGGUAUGAUCGCAUCUGUUACUACAUGCAAUGCAAUCGUAUCUAUUCUUUUUUGAAGAUUUUAUGAUUCAUUUACCGUGGGUCCCACCAGCUAUGUAGGAAAACCUAUCUUAUUUAUAAGAUCUUUGAUACAUGCAAAAUAUUGGAAAACAAUGUCCGAACAUAUAAUGUUCGCCCCAAAAUAUAGCGAAGACCACAAAAAUGCCAUAAAAAGUACAUUAAGGUCAAAAUUUGGAGUAGGAAAAAAAUCAAUAGGAGAAUUCCAUUUUCCUUCCCUCAUUCAUCGGAGAGCUCUCUUUGGGCAUUCCAAAAAGGUAUCACAUGCCAAGUUUGGCCUCACGGUCUAAAAGUUAUAGAAUAUUACAUUUUUAACAAAAAAAAAGAGAAAAACCGAAAAAAAGAGGGAUGCAACACGAAGACUUUUCUGGAGGUCACCCAUCCUACUACUACUCUCGCCCAAGCACACUUAACUGCGGUGUUCUGAUAGGAUCAAGUGCAUUAGUGCUGGUAUGAUCGCAUCAGUUACUACAUGCAAUACAAUCAUAUAUAUUCUUUUUUGAAGACUUUAUGAUCCAUUUGCCGUAGGUCCCACCAGCUAUGUAGGAAUACCUUAUCUUGUUUAUAAGAGCUUUGAUACAUGCAAAAUAUUCGAAAACAAUGUCCGAACAUAUAAUUUUUGUCCCGUAAUAUAGCAAAGAUCACGAAAAGGCCAGAAAAAAUACAUUUCGGUCAAAAUUUGGAGUAGAAAAAAAACCCUUCCUCAUUCAUUGGACAGCUCUCUUUGGGCUUUCCGAAAAGGUAUCACAUGCCAAGUUUGGCUUCACGGUCUAAACCUUAUAGACUCAUACAUUUUUCACAAAAAAAAGAAGAGAAAAACAAAAAAAAAGAGUGAUUAAACACGAGGACUUUCCUGGAGGUCACCCAUCCUAGUACUACUCUCGCCCAAGCACUCUUAACUGCGAAGUUCUGAUGGGAUCUGGUGCAUUAGUGCUGGUAUGAACGCAUCUGUUACUACAUGCAAUGCAAUCGUAUGUAUUCUUUUUUGAAGAUUUUAUGAUUCAUUUACCGUGGGUCCCACCAGCUAUGUAGGAAUAACCUAUCUUAUUUAUAAAAGCUUUGAUACAUGCAAAAUAUUCGAAAACAAUGUCCGAACAUAUAAUGUUCGCCCCAAAAUAUAGCAAAGACCACAAAAAUGCCAUAAAAAGUACAUUAAGGUCAAAAUUUGGAGUAGGAAAAAAAUCAAUAGGAGAAUUCCAUUUUCCUUCCCUCAUUCAUCGGAGAGCUCUCUUUGGGCAUUCCAAAAAGGUAUCACAUGCCAAGUUUGGCCUCACGGUCUAAAAGUUAUAGAGUAUUACAUUUUUAACAAAAAAAAAAAGAGAAAAACCGAAAAAAAGAGGGAUGCAACACGAAGACUUUUCUGGAGGUCACCCAUCCUAGUACUACUCUCCCCCAAGCACGCUUAACUGUGGUGUUCUGAUAGGAUCAAGUGCAUUAGUGCUGGUAUGAUCGCAUCAGUUACUACAUGCAAUGCAAUCAUAUAUAUUCUUUUUUGAAGACUUUAUGAUCCAUUUGCCGUAGGUCCCACCAGCUAUGUAGGAAUACCCUAUCUUGUUUAUAAGAGCUUUGAUACAUGCAAAAUAUUCGAAAACAAUGUCCGAACAUAUAAUUUUUGUCCCGUAAUAUAGCAAAGAUCACGAAAAGGUCAGAAAAAAUAUAUUUCGGUCAAAAUUUGGAGUAGAAAAAAAGCCCUUCCUCAUUCAUUGGACAGCUCUCUUUGGGCUUUCCGAAAAGGUAUCACAUGCCAAGUUUGGCCUCACGGUCUAAACCUUAUAGACUCAUACAUUUUUCAUAAAAAAAAGAAGAGAAAAACAAAAAAAAAAAGAGUGAUUAAACACGAGGACUUUCCUGGAGGUCACCCAUCCUAGUACUACUCUCGCCCAAGCACGCUUAACUACGAAGUUCCGAUGGGAUCUGAUGCAUUAGUGCUGGUAUGAUCGCAUCUGUUACUACAUGCAAUGCAAUCGUAUCUAUUCUUUUUUGAAGAUUUUAUGAUUCAUUUACUGUGGGUCCCACCAGCUAUGUAGGAAUAACCUAUCUUAUUUAUAAAAGCUUUGAUACAUGCAAAAUAUUGGAAAACAAUGUCCGAACAUAUAAUGUUCGCCCCAAAAUAUAGCAAAGACCACAAAAAUGCCAUAAAAAGUACAUUAAGGUCAAAAUUUGGAGUAGGAAAAAAAUCAAUAGGAGAAUUCCAUUUUCCUUCCCUCAUUCAUCGGAGAGCUCUCUUUGGGCAUUCCAAAAAGGUAUCACAUGCCAAGUUUGGCCUCACGGUCUAAAAGUUAUAGAGUAAUACAUUUUUAACAAAAAAAAAAAAGAAAAAAACCGAAAACAAAGAGGGAUGCAACACGAAGACUUUCCUGGAGGUCACCCAUCCUAGUACUACUCUCACCCAAGCACACNUUAACUGUGGUGUUCUGAUAGGAUCAAGUGCAUUAGUGCUGGUAUGAUCGCAUCAGUUACUACAUGCAAUGCAAUCNNNNNNNNNNNNNNNNNNNNNNNNNNNNNNNNNNNNNNNNNNNNNNNNNNCUCCUCAGUCAUCUUUGAGCUCUCUUUGGGCUUUCCGAAAAGGUAUCACAUGCCCAGUUUGGCCUCACGGUCUAAAAGUUAUAAAGUCAUACAUUUUUAACAAAAAAAAAAGAGAAAAACCGAAAAAAAGAGGGAUGCAAUACGAGGACUUUCCACGAGGUCACCCAUCCUAGUACAACUCUCGCCAAAGCAUGCUUAACUGCGGAGUUUAGAUGGGAUCUGGUGCAUUAGUGCUGGUAUGAUCGCAUCUGUUACUACAUGCAAUGCAAUCGUAUCUAUUCUUAUUUAAAGACUUUAUCAUCCAUUUGCCAUGGGUCCCACCUGUAGGAAUACCCAAUCUUGUUUAUAAGAGCUUUGAUACAUGCAAAAUAUUCGAAAACAACGUCCGAACAUAUAAUUUUCGCCCCGUAAUAUAGCAAAGAUCACGAAAAGGCCCGAAAAAGUACAUUAAGGUCAAAAUUUGGAAUAGAAAAAAAAACCAAAAGAAGUAUUCCAUUGUCCUUUGUCAUUCAUCGAAGAGCUCUCUUUGGGCUUUCCGAAAAGGUAUCGCAAGCCAAGUUUGGCCUCACGGUUUAAAAGUUAUAAAGUCAUACAUUUUUAACAAAAAAAAAAAGAGAAAAAACCGAAAAAAAGAGGGAUGCAACACGAGGACUUUUCUGGAGGUCACCCAUCCUAGUACUACUCUCGCCCGAUCACCCUUAACUGCGUAGUUUUGAUGGGAUUCGAUGCAUUAGUGCUGGUAUGAUCGCAUCUGUUACUACAUGCAAUGUAAUCGUAUCUAUUCUUUUUUAAAGACUUUAUGAUCCAUUUGCCGUGGGUCCCACCAGCUAUGUAGGAAUACCCUAUCUUCUUUAUAAGAGCUUUGAUAUAUGCAAAAUAGUGGAAAACCAUGUCCGAACAUAUAAUUUUUCCCCUGUAAUAUAGCAAAGAUCAAGAAAAAGCCAAAAAAAGUAUAUUUAGGUCAAAAUUUGGAGUAGAAAAAAAAACAAUAGAAGAAUUCCAUUUUCCUUCCUCAGUCAUCGGAGAGCUCUCUUUCGGCUUUCCGAAAAGGUAUCAAAUGCCAAGUUUGGCCUCACGGUCUAAAAGUUAUAGAGUCAUACAUUUUUAACAAUACAAAGUAGAGAAAACCGGAAAAAAGAGGGAUGCAACAUGAGGACUUUCCGGGAGGUAAUCCAUCCUAGUACAACUCUUGCCCAAGCACCCUUAACUGCGGAGUUCUGAUGGAAUCCGGUGCAUUAGUGCUGGUAUGAUCGCAUCUGUUACUACAUGCAAUGUAAUCGUAUCUAUUUUUUUUUAAAGACUUUAUGAUCCAUUUGCCGUGGGUCCCACCAGCUAUGUAGGAAUACCCUAUCUUCUUUAUAAGAGCUUUGAUACAUGCAAAAUAUAUGAAAAAACGUUCGAACAUAUAAUUUUUCCCCCCGUAAUAUAGCAAAGAUCACGAAAAGGCCCGAAAAAGUACAUUUAGUUCAAAAUUUGGAGUAGAAAAACCCAAUAGAAGAAUUCCAUUUUCCUUCGUCAUUCAUCGGAGAGCUCUCUUUGGGCUUUCCGAAAAGGUAUCACAUGCCAAGUUUGGCCUCACGGUCUAAAAGUUAUAGAGUCAUACAUUUUUAACAAAACAAAAUUGAGAAAAACCGAAAAAAGAGGGAUGCAACACGAGGACUCUCCAGAAGGUAACCCAUCUUAGUACUACUUUCGCCCAAGCACCCUUAACUGCGGAGUUCUGAUAGGACCCGGUGCAUUAGUGCUGGUAUGAUCGCAUGUGUUACUACAUGCAAUGUAAUCGUAUAUAUUCAUUUUUAAAGACUUUAUGAUCCAUUUGCCGUGGGUCCUACCAGCUAUGUAGAAAUACCCUAUCUUCUUUAUAAGAGCUUUCAUUCACGCAAAAUAAUGGAAAACAAUGUCCGAAGAUAUAAUUCCCCCCCCCCCCCCCCCGUAAUAUAGCAAAGAUCACGAAAAGGCCCGAAAAAGUACAUUAAGUUCAAAAUUUGGAGUAGAAAAAAAAACAAUAGAAGAAUUCCAUUUUCCUUCCUCAGUCAUCGGAGAGCUCUCUUUGGGCUUUCCGAAAAGGUAUCACAUGCCAAGUUUGGCCUCACGGUCUAAAGGUUAUAGAGUCAUACAUUUUUAACAAAAAAAAAUAGAAAAACAGAAAAAAGAGGGAUGCAAUACGAGGACUUUCCAGGAGGUCACCCAUCCUAGUACAACUCUCGCCGAAGCACGCUUAACUACGGUGUUCAGAUGGAAUCUGGUGCAUUAGUGCUGGUAUGAUGUCAUUUGUUACUACAUGCAAUGCAAUCAUAUCUAUUCUUAUUUAAAGACUUUAUGAUCCAUUUGCCGUGGGUCCCACCUGUAGGAAUACCCUAUCUUGUUUAUAAAAGAUUUGAUACAUGCAAAAUACUCGAAAACAAUGUCCGAACAUAUAAUUUUCACCCCGUAAUAUAGCAAAGAUCACGAAAAGGCCCGAAAAAGUACAUUAAAGUCAAAAUUUGGAGUAGAAAAAAACCCAAUAGAAGUAUUCCAUUCUCCUUCGUCAUUCAUCGGAGAGCUCUCUUUAGGCUUUCCGAAAAGAUAUCACAUGCCAAGUUUGGCCUCACGGUUUAAAAGUUAUAGAGUCAUAGAUUUUUAACAAAACAAAAAGAGAAAAACCGAAAAAAAAUUGGGAUGCAACACGAGGACUUUCCUGGAGGUCACCCAUCCUAGUACUACUCUUGCCCAAGCACCCUUAACUGCGUAGUUCUGAUGGGAUCCGAUGCUUUAGGGCUGGUAUGAUCGCAUCUGUUACUACAUGCAAUGUAAUCGUAUCUAUUCUUUUUUAAAGACUUUAUGAUCCAUUUGCCGUGGGUCCCACCAGCUAUGUAGGAAUACCCUAUCUUCUUUAUAAGAGCUUUGAUAAAUGCAAAAUAUUGGAAAGCAAUGUCCGAACAUAUAAUUUCGCCCCCGUAAUAUAGCAAAGAUCACGAAAAAGCCCAAAAAAGUUCAUUUAGGUCAAAAUUUGAGCAGAAGAAAAAGAAAUAGAAGAAUUCCAUUUUCCUUCCUCAUUUAUUGGAGAGCUCUCUUUGGGCUUUCCGAAAAGGUAUCACAUGCCAAGUUUGGCCUCACGGUCUAAAAGUUAUAGAGUCAUACAGUUUUAACAAAAUGAAAUAGAGAAAAACCGAAAAAAAGAGGGAUGUAACACGAGGACUUUCCGGGAGGUAAUCUAUCCUACUACUACUCUCGGCCAAGCACCCUUAACUGCGGAGUUCUAAUGGGAUCCGGUGCAUUAGUGCUAGUAUGAUCGCAUGUGUUACUACAUGCAAUGUAAUCGUAUCUAUUCUUUUUUAAAGACUUUAUGAUCCAUUUGCCGUGGGUCCCACCAGCUAUGUAGGAAUACCCUAUCUUCUUUAUAAGAGCUUUGAUACAUGCAAAAUAUAUGAAAAAAACGUCCGAACAUAUAAUUUUCCCCCCGUAAUAUAGCAAAGAUCAUGAAAAGGCCCAAAAAAGUACAUUAAUGUCAAAAUUUGGCGUAGAAAAAAAACCAAUAGACAUAUUCCAUUGUCCUUCAUCAUUCAUUGAAGAGCUCUCUUUGGGCUUUCCGAAAAGGUAUCACAUGCCAAGUUUGGCCUCACGGUCUAAAAGUUAUAGAGUCAUACAUUUUUAACAAUACAAAAUAGAGAAAAACCGAAAAAAAGAGGGAUGCAACACGAGGACUUUCCGGGAGGUAAUCCAUCCUAGUACUACUCUCGCCCAAGCACCCUUAACUGCGGAGUUCUGAUGGGACCCGGUGCAUUAGUGCUGGUAUGAUCGCAUCUGUUACUAUAUGCAAUGUAAUCGUAUCUAUUCUUUUUUAAAGACUUUAUGAUCCAUUUGCCGUGGGUCCCACCAGCUAUGUAGGAAUACCCUAUCUUCUUUAUAAGAGCUUUGAUAUAUGCAAAAUAUUGGAACACCAUGUCCGAACAUAUAAUUUUUCCCGUGUAAUAUAGCAAAGAUCAAGAAAAAGACAAAAGAGUACAUUUAGGUCAAAAUUUGAGUAGAAAAAAACAAAUAGAAGAAUUCCAUUUUCCUUCCUCAUUCAGCUGAGAGCUCUCUUUGGGCUUUCCGAAAAGGUAUCAUAUGCCAAGUUUGGCCUCACAGUGUAAAAGUUAUAGAGUCUAACAUUUUUAACAAAACAAAAUAGAGAAAAACCAAAAAAAGAGGGAUGCAACACGAGGACUUUCUGGGAGGUCACCCAUCCUAGUACUACUCUCGCCCAAGCACCCUUAACUGCGGAGUUCUGAUGGGAUCCGGUGCAUUAGUGCAGGUAUGAUCGCAUGUGUUACUACAUGCAAUGUAAUCCUAUCUAUUCUUUCUUAAAGACUUUAUGAUCCAUUUGCCGUGAGUCCCACCAGCUAUGUAGGAAUACCCUAUCUUCUUUAUAAGAGCUUUGAUACAUGCAAAAUAUUGGAAAACAAUAUCCGAACAUAUAGUUUUCCCCCCGUAAUAUAGCAAAGAUCACGAAAAGGCCCGAAAAAGUACAUUUAGUUCAAAAUUGGGAGUAGAAAAAAAAACAAUAGAAGAAUUCCAUUUUACUUCCUCAGUCAUCGGAGAGCUCUCUUUGGGCUUUCCGAAAAGGUAUCACAUGCCCAGUUUGGCCUCACGGUCUAAAAGUUAUAAAGUCAUACAUUUUUAACAAAAACAAAAGAGAAAAACCGAAAAAAAAGAGGGAUGCAAUACGAGGACUUUCCACGAGGUCACCCAUCCUAGUACAACUCUCGCCGAAGCAUGCUUAACUGCGGAGUUUAGAUGGGAUCUGGUGCAUUAGUGCUGGUAUGAUCGCAUCUGUUACUACAUGCAAUGCAAUCGUAUCUAUUCUUAUUUAAAGACUUUAUCAUCCAUUUGCCAUGGGUCCCACCUGUAGGAAUACCCAAUCUUGUUUAUAAGAGCUUUGAUACAUGCAAAAUAUUCGAAAACAACGUCCGAACAUAUAAUUUUCGCCCCGUAAUAUAGCAAAGAUCACGAAAAGGCCCGAAAAAGUACAUUAAGGUCAAAAUUUGGAAUAGAAAAAAAAACCAAUAGAAGUAUUCCAUUGUCCUUUGUCAUUCAUCGAAGAGCUCUCUUUGGGCUUUCCGAAAAGGUAUCGCAAGCCAAGUUUGGCCUCACGGUUUAAAAGUUAUAAAGUCAUACAUUUUUAACAAAAAAAAAAAGAGAAAAAACCGAAAAAAAGAGGGAUGCAACACGAGGACUUUUCUGGAGGUCACCCAUCCUAAUACUUCUCUCGCCCGAUCACCCUUAACUACGUAGUUUUGAUGGGAUUCGAUGCAUUAGUGCUGGUAUGAUCGCAUCUGUUACUACAUGCAAUGUAAUCGUAUCUAUUCUUUUUUAAAGACUUUAUGAUCCAUUUGCCGUGGGUCCCACCAGCUAUGUAGGAAUACCCUAUCUUCUUUAUAAGAGCUUUGAUAUAUGCAAAAUAUUGGAAAACCAUGUCCGAACAUAUAAUUUUUCCCCUGUAAUAUAGCAAAGAUCAAGAAAAAGCCAAAAAAGUAUAUUUAGGUCAAAAUUUGGAGUAGAAAAAAAAACAAUAGAAGAAUUCCAUUUUCCUUCCUCAGUCAUCGGAGAGCUCUCUUUGGGCUUUCCGAAAAGGUAUCAAAUGCCAAGUUUGGCCUCACGGUCUAAAAGUUAUAGAGUCAUACAUUUUUAACAAUACAAAGUAGAGAAAACCGGAAAAAAGAGGGAUGCAACAUGAGGACUUUCCGGGAGGUAAUCCAUCCUAGUACAACUCUUGCCCAAGCACCCUUAACUGCGGAGUUCUGAUGGAAUCCGGUGCAUUAGUGCUGGUAUGAUCGCAUGUGUUACUACAUGCAAUGUAAUCGUAUCUAUUCUUUUUUAAAGACUUUAUGAUCCAUUUGCCGUGGGUCCCACCAGCUAUGUAGGAAUACCCUAUCUUCUUUAUAAGAGCUUUGAUACAUGCAAAAUAUAUGAAAAAACGUUCGAACAUAUAAUUUUUCCCCCCGUAAUAUAGCAAAGAUCACGAAAAGGCCCGAAAAAGUACAUUUAGUUCAAAAUUUGGAGUAGAAAAACCCAAUAGAAGAAUUCCAUUUUCCUUCGUCAUUCAUCGGAGAGCUCUCUUUGGGCUUUCCGAAAAGGUAUCACAUGCCAAGUUUGGCCUCACGGUCUAAACGUUAUAGAGUCAUACAUUUUUAACAAAACAAAAUUGAGAAAAACCGAAAAAAAGAGGGAUGCAACACGAGGACUCUCCAGAAGGUAACCCAUCUUAGUACUACUUUCGCCCAAGCACCCUUAACUGCGGAGUUCUGAUAGGACCCGGUGCAUUAGUGCUGGUAUGAUCGCAUGUGUUACUACAUGCAAUGUAAUCGUAUAUAUUCAUUUUUAAAGACUUUAUGAUCCAUUUGCCGUGGGUCCUACCAGCUAUGUAGAAAUACCCUAUCUUCUUUAUAAGAGCUUUCAUUCACGCAAAAUAAUGGAAAACAAUGUCCGAAGAUAUAAUUUCCCCCCCCCCCCGUAAUAUAGCAAAGAUCACGAAAAGGCCCGAAAAAGUACAUUAAGUUCAAAAUUUGGAGUAGAAAAAAAAACAAUAGAAGAAUUCCAUUUUCCUUCCUCAGUCAUCGGAGAGCUCUCUUUGGGCUUUCCGAAAAGGUAUCACAUGCCAAGCUUGGCCUCACGGUCUAAAGGUUAUAGAGUCAUACAUUUUUAACAAAAAAAAAAUAGAAAAACAGAAAAAAGAGGGAUGCAAUACGAGGACUUUCCAGGAGGUCACCCAUCCUAGUACAACUCUCGCCGAAGCACGCUUAACUACGGUGUUCAGAUGGAAUCUGGUGCAUUAGUGCUGGUAUGAUGUCAUUUGUUACUACAUGCAAUGCAAUCAUAUCUAUUCUUAUUUAAAGACUUUAUGAUCCAUUUGCCGUGGGUCCCACCUGUAGGAAUACCCUAUCUUGUUUAUAAAAGAUUUGAUACAUGCAAAAUACUCGAAAACAAUGUCCGAACAUAUAAUUUUCACCCCGUAAUAUAGCAAAGAUCACGAAAAGGCCCGAAAAAGUACAUUAAAGUCAAAAUUUGGAGUAGAAAAAAACCCAAUAGAAGUAUUCCAUUCUCCUUCGUCAUUCAUCGGAGAGCUCUCUUUAGGCUUUCCGAAAAGAUAUCACAUGCCAAGUUUGGCCUCACGGUUUAAAAGUUAUAGAGUCAUAGAUUUUUAACAAAACAAAAAGAGAAAAACCGAAAAAAAUUGGGAUGCAACACGAGGACUUUCCUGGAGGUCACCCAUCCUAGUACUACUCUCGCCCAAGCACCCUUAACUGCGUAGUUCUGAUGGGAUCCGAUGCUUUAGUGCUGGUAUGAUCGCAUCUGUUACUACAUGCAAUGUAAUCGUAUCUAUUCUUUUUUAAAGACUUUAUGAUCCAUUUGCCGUGGGUCCCACCAGCUAUGUAGGAAUACCCUAUCUUCUUUAUAAGAGCUUUGAUAAAUGCAAAAUAUUGGAAACCAAUGUCCGAACAUAUAAUUUCGCCCCCGUAAUAUAGCAAAGAUCACGAAAAAGCCCAAAAAAGUUCAUUUAGGUCAAAAUUUGAGCAGAAGAAAAAGAAAUAGAAGAAUUCCAUUUUCCUUCCUCAUUUAUUGGAGAGCUCUCUUUGGGCUUUCCGAAAAGGUAUCACAUGCCAAGUUUGGCCUCACGGUCUAAAAGUUAUAGAGUCAUACAUUUUUAACAAAAUGAAAUAGAGAAAAACCGAAAAAAAGAGGGAUGUAACACGAGGACUUUCCGGGAGGUAAUCUAUCCUACUACUACUCUCGGCCAAGCACCCUUAACUGCGGAGUUCUAAUGGGAUCCGGUGCAUUAGUGCUGGUAUGAUCGCAUGUGUUACUACAUGCAAUGUAAUCGUAUCUAUUCUUUUUUAAAGACUUUAUGAUCCAUUUGCCGUGGGUCCCACCAGCUAUGUAGGAAUACCCUAUUUUCUUUAUAAGAGCUUUGAUACAUGCAAAAUAUUGGAAAACAAUGUCCGAACAUAUUAUUUUCCCCCCGUAAUAUAGCAAAGAUCACGAAAAGGCCCGAAAAAGUACAUUUAGUUCAAAAUGUGGAGUAGAAAAAAAAACAAUAGAAGAAUUCCAUUUUCCUUCGUCAUUCAUCGGAGAGCUCUCUUUAGGCUUUCCGAAAAGGUAUCACAUGCCAAGUUUGGCCUCACGGUCUAAAAGUUAUAGAAUCAUACAUUUUUAACAAAACAAAAUAGAGAAAAACCGAAAAAGAGGGAUUUAACACGAGGACUUUCCGAGAGGUAACCCAUCCUAGUACUACUCUCGUCCAAGCACCCUUAACUGCGGAGUUCUGAUGGGAUCCGGUGUAUUAGUGCUGGUAUGAUCGCAUGUGUUACUACAUGCAAUGUAAUCGUAUCUAUUCUUUUUUAAAGACUUUAUAAUCCAUUUGCCGUGGGUCCCACCAGCUAUGUAGGAAUACCCUAUUUUCUUUAUAAGAGCUUUGAUACAUGCAAAAUAUUAGAAAACAAUGUCCGAACAUAUUAUUUUCCCCCCGUUAUAUAGCAAAGAUCACGAAAAGGCCCGAAAAAGUACAUUUAGUUCAAAAUUUGGAGUAGAAAAAAAAACAAUAGAAGAAUUCCAUUUUCCUUCGUCAUUCAUCGGAGAGCUCUCUUUAGGCUUUCCGAAAAGGUAUCACAUGCCAAGUUUGGCCUCACGGUCUAAAAGUUAUAGAGUCAUACAUUUUUAACAAAACAAAAUAGAGAAAAACCGAAAAAAGAGGGAUUUAACACGAGGACUUUCUGAGAGGUAACCCAUCCGAGUACUACACUCGCCCAAGCACCCUUAACUACGGAGUUCUGAUGGGAUACGGUGCAUUAGUGCUGGUUUGAUCGCAUCUGUUACUACAUGCAAUGUAAUCGUAUCUAUUCUUUUUUAAAGACUUUAUGAUCCAUUUGCCGUGGGUGCCACCAACUAUGUAGGAUUAUCCUAUAUUCUUUAUAAGAGCUUUGAUACAUGAAAAAUAUUCGAAAACAAUGUCCGAACAUAUAAUUUCCACCCGUAAUAUAGCAAAGAUCACGAAAAGGCCCAAAAAAGUACAUUAAGUUUAAAAUUUGGAGUAGAAAAAAAACCAAUAGAAGAAUUCCAUUUUCCUUCCUCAGUCAUCGGAGAGCUCUCUUUGGGCUUUCCGAAAAGGUAUCACAUGCCAAGUUUGACCUCACGGUCUAAAGGUUAUAGAGUCAUACAUUUUUAACAAAAAAAAAUAGAAAAACAGGAAAAAAGAGGGAUGCAAUACGAGGACUUUCCAGGAGGUCACCCAUCCUAGUACAACUCUCGCCGAAGCACGCUUAACUGCGGUGUUCAGAUGGGAUCUGGUGCAUUAGUGCUCGUAUGAUGGCAUUUGUUACUACAUGCAAUGCAAUCGUAUCUACUCUUAUUUAAAGACUUUAUGAUCCAUUUGCCGUGGGUGCCACCAACUAUGUAGGAUUAUCCUAUAUUCUUUAUAAGAGCUUUGAUACAUGCAAAAUAUUCGAAAGCAAUGUCCGAACAUAUAAUUUCCCCCCCGUAAUAUAGCAAAGAUCACGAAAAGGCCCGAAAAAGUACAUUUAGUUCAAAAUUUGGAGUAGAAAAAAAAACAAUAGAAGAAUUCCAUUUUCCUUCGUCAUUCAUCGGAGAGCUCUCUUUAGGCUUUCCGAAAAGGUAUCACAUGCCAAGUUUGGCCUCACGGUCUAAAAGUUAUAGAGUCAUACAUUUUCAACAAAACAAAAUAGAGAAACACCGAAAAAAGAGGGAUUUAACACGAGGACUUUCCGAGAGGUAACCCAUCCUAGUACUACUCUCGUCCAAGCACCCUUAACUGCGGAGUUCUGAUGGGAUCCGGUGCAUUAGUGCUGGUAUGAUCGCAUGUGUUACUACAUGCAAUGUAAUCAUAUCUAUUCUUUUUUUAAAGACUUUAUGAUUCAUUUGCCGUGGGUCCCACCAGCUAUGUAGGAAUACCCUAUUUUCUUUAUAACAGCUUUGAUACAUGCAAAAUAUUGGAAAACAAUGUCCGAACAUAUUAUUUUCCUCCCGUAAUAUAGCAAAGAUCACGAAAAGGCCCGAAAAAGUACAUUUAGUUCAAAAUUUGGAGUAGAAAAAAAAACAAUAGAAGAAUUCCAUUUUCCUUCGUCAUUCAUCGGAGAGCUCUCUUUAGGCUUUCCGAAAAGGUAUCACAUGCCAAGUUUGGCCUCACGGUCUAAAAGUAUAGAGUCAUACAUUUUUAAAAAAACAAAAUAGAGAAAAACCGAAAAAAGAGGGAUUUAACACGAGGACUUUCCGAGAGGUAACCCAUCCUAGUACUACUCUCGUCCAAGCACCCUUAACUGCGGAGUUCUAAUGGGAUCUGGUGCAUUAGUGCUGGUAUGAUCGCAUGUGUUACUACAUGCAAUGUAAUCGUAUCUAUUCUUUUUUAAAGACUUUAUGAUCCAUUUGCCGUGGGUCCCACCAGCUAUGUAGGAAUACCCUAUUUUCUUUAUAAGAGCUUUGAUACAUGCAAAAUAUUGGAAAACAAUGUCCGAACAUAUUAUUUUCCCCCCGUUAUAUAGCAAAGAUCACGAAAAGGCCCGAAAAAGUACAUUUAGUUCAAAAUUUGGAGUAGAAAGAAAAACAAUAGAAGAAUUCCAUUUUCCUUCGUCAUUCAUCUGAGAGCUCUCUUUAGGCUUUCCGAAAAGGUAUCACAUGCCAAGUUUGGCCUCACGGUCUAAAAGUUAUAGAGUCAUACAUUUUUAACAAAACAAAAUAGAGAAAAACCGAAAAAGAGGGAUUUAAGACGAGGACUUUCUGAGAGGUAACCCAUCCGAGUACUACACUCGCCCAAGCACCCUUAACUACGGAGUUCUGAUGGGAUACGGUGCAUUAGUGCUGGUUUGAUCGCAUGUGUUACUACAUGCAAUGUAAUCGUAUCUAUUCUUUUUUAAAGACUUUAUGAUCCAUUUGCCGUGGGUGCCACCAACUAUGUAGGAUUAUCCUAUAUUCUUUAUAAGAUCUUUGAUACUUGCAAAAUAUUCGAAAAAAAUGUCCGAACAUAUAAUUUCCCCCCCGUAAUAUAGCAAAGAUCACGAAAAGGCCCAAAAAAGUACAUUAAGUUUAAAAUUUGGAGUAGAAAAAAAACCAAUAGAAGAAUUCCAUUUUCCUUCCUCAGUCAUCGGAGAGCUCUCUUUGGGCUUUCCGAAAAGUUAUCACAUGCCAAGUUUGACCUCACGGUCUAAAGGUUAUAGAGUCAUACAUUUUUAACAAAAAAAAAUAGAAAAACAGGAAAAAAGAGGGAUGCAAUACGAGGACUUUCCAGCAGGUCACCCAUCCUAGUACAACUCUCGCCAAAGCACGCUUAACUGCGGUGUUCAGAUGGGAUCUGGUGCAUUAGUGCUUGUAUGAUGGCAUUUGUUACUACAUGCAAUGCAAUCGUAUCGAUUCUUAUUUAAAGACUUUAUGAUCCAUUUGUCGUGGGUGCCACCUGUAGGAAUACCCUAUCUUGUUUAUAAGAGAUUUGAUACAUGCAAAAUAUUCGAAAACAAUGUCCGAACAUAUAAUUUUUGCCCCGUAAUAUAGAAAAGAUCACAAAAAAGUCCAAAAAAGUACAUUUAGGUCAAAAUUUGAGCAGAAAAAAAAGAAAUAGAAGAAUUCCAUUUUCCUUCGUCAUUCAUCGGAGAGCUCUCUUUAGGCUUUCCGAAAAGAUAUCACAUGCCAAGUUUGGCCUCACGGUCUAAAAGUUAUAGAGUCAUACAUUUUUCACAAAACAAAAAGAGAAAAACCGAAAAAAAUAGGGAUGCAACACGAGGACUUUCCUGGAGGUCACCCAUCCUAGUACUAAUCUCGCCCAAGCACCCUUAACUGCGUAGUUCUGAUGGGAUCCGAUGCAUUAGUCCUGGUAUGAUCGCAUCUGUUACUAUAUGCAAUAUAAUCGUAUCUAUUCUUUUUUAAAGACUUUAUGAUCCAUUUGCCGUGGGUCCCACCAGCUAUGUAGGAUACCCUAUCUUCAUAAUAAGAGCUUUGAUAAAUGCAAAAUAUUGGAAAACAAUGUCCGAACAUAUAAUUUCCCCCCCCCCCCCCGUAAUAUAGCAAAGAUCACGAAAAAGCCCAAAAAAGUACAUUUAGGUCAAAAUUUGAGUAGAAAAAAAAACAAAUAGAGGAAUUCCAUUUUCCGUCCUCAUUCAUCGGAGAGCUCUCUUUCGGCUUUCCGAAAAGGUAUCACAUGCCAAGUUUGGCCUCACGGUCUAAAAGUUAUAGAGUCAUACAUUUUUAACAAAACAAAAUAGAGAAAAACCGAAAAAAAGAAGGAUGCAACACGAGGACUUCCCGGGAGGUCACCCAUCCUAGUACUACUCUCGCCUAAGCACCCUUAACUGCGGAGUUCUGAUGGGAUCAGGUGCAUUAGUGCUGGUAUGAUCGCAUGUGGUACUACAUGCAAUGUAAUCGUAUCUAUUCCUUUUGAAAGACUUUAUGAUCCAUUUGCCGUGGGUCCCACCAGCUAUGUAGGAAUACCCUAUCUUCUUUAUAAGAGCUUUGAUACAUGCAAAAUAUUUGAAAACAAUGUCCGAACAUAUAAUUUUCCCCCCGUUAUAUAGCAAAGAUCACGAAAAGGCCCAAAAAAGUACAAUUAGUUCAAAAUUUGGAGUAGAAAAAAAAACAAUAGAAGAAUUCCAUUUUCCUUCCUCAGUCAUCGGAGAGCUCUCUUUGGGCUUUCCAAAAAGGUAUCACAUGCCAAGUUUGGCCUCACAGUCUAAAAGUUAUAGAGUCAUACAUUUUUAACAAAACAAAAUAGAGAAAAACCGAAAAAAAGAGGGAUGCAACACGAGGACUUUCCGGGAGGUAACCCAUCCUAGUACUACUCUCGCCCAAGCACCCUUAACUGCGGAGUUUUGAUGGGAUCCGGUGCAUUAGUGUUGGUAUGAUCGCAUGUGUUACUACAUGCAAUGUAAUCGUAUCUAUUCCUUUUGAAAGACUUUAUGAUCCAUUUGCCGUGGGUCCCACCAGCUAUGUAGGAAUACCCUAUCUUCUUUAUAAGAGCUUUGAUACAUACAAAAUAUUGGAUCACAAUGUCAUAACAUAUAAUUUUCCCCCCUUAAUAUAGCAAAGAUCACGAAAAGGCCCGAAAAAAUACAUUUAGUUCAAAAUUUGGAGUAGAAAAAAAAAAUAUAAGAAUUCCAUUUUCCUUCCUCUGUUAUCGGAGAGCUCUCUUUGGGCUUUCCGAAAAGGUAUCACAUGCCAAGUUUGGCCUCACGGUCUAAAAGAUAUAAAGUCAUACAUUAUUAACAAAACAAAAUAGAGAAAAACCGAAAAAAAGAAGGAUGCAACACGAGGACUUUCCGGGAGGUAAUCUAUCCUAGUACUACUCUCGCCCAAGCACCCUUAACUGCGGAGUUCUGAUGGGAUCCGGUGCAUUAGUGUUGGUAUGAUCGCAUGUGUUACUACAUGCAAUGUAACCGUAUCUAUUCUUUUUUAAAGACUUUAUGAUCCAUUUGCCGUGGGUCCCACCAGCUAUGUAGGAAUAUUCUAUCUUCUUUAUAAGAGCUUUGAUACAUGCAAAAUAUUGGAAAACAACGUCCGAACAUAUAAUUUCCCCCCCCCCCCGUAAUAUAGCAAAAAUCACGAAAAGGCCCGAAAAAGUACAUUUAGUUCAAAAUUUGCAGUAGAAAAAAAAACAAUAGAAGAAUUUCAUUUUCCUUCCUCAGUCAUCGGAGAGCUCUCUUUGGGCUUUCCAAAAAGGUAUCACAUGCCAAGUUUGGCCUCACAGUCUAAAAGUUAUAGAGUCAUACAUUUUUAACAAAACAAAAUAGAGAAAAACCGAAAAAAGAGGGAUGCAACACGAGGACUUUCCCGGAGGUAAUCUAUCCUAGUACUACUCUCGCCCAAGCACCCUUAACUGCGGAGUUCUGAUGGGAUCCGGUGCAGUAGUGCUGGUAUGAUCGCAUGUGUUACUACAUGCAAUGUAAUCGUAUCUAUUCUUUUUUAAAGACUUUAUGAUCCAUUUGCCGUGAGUCCCACCAGCUAUGUAGGAAUAUUCUAUCUUCUUUAUAAGAGCUUUGAUACAUGCAAAAUACUGGAAAACAAUGUCCGAACAUAUAAUUUUCCCCACGUAAUAUAGCAAAGAUCACGAAAAGGCCCGAAAAAGUACAUUUAGUUCAAAAUUUGGAGUAGAAAAAAAAACAAUAGAAGAAUUUCAUUUUCCUUCCCUAGUCAUCGGAGAGCUCUCUUUGGGCUUUCCAAAAAGGUAUCACAUGCCAAGUUUGGCCUCACAGUCUAAAAGUUAUAGAGUCAUACAUUUUUAACAAAACAAAAUAGAGAAAAACCGAAAAAAAAGAGGGAUGCAACACGAGGACUUUCUGGGAGGUAAUCUAUCCUAGUACUACUCUCGCCCAAGCACCCUUAACUGCGGAGUUCUGAUGGGAUCCGGUGCAGUAGUGCUGGUAUGAUCGCAUGUGUUACUACAUGCAAUGUAAUCGUAUCUAUUCUUUUUUAAAGACUUUAUGAUCCAUUUGCCGUGAGUCCCACCAGCUAUGUAGGAAUAUUCUAUCUUCUUUAUAAGAGCUUUGAUACAUGCAAAAUACUGGAAAACAAUGUCCGAACAUAUAAUUUUCCCCCCGUAAUAUAGCAAAGAUCACGAAAAGGCCCAGAAAAGUACAUUUAGUUCAAAAUUUGGAGUAGAAAAAAAAACAAUAGAAGAAUUCCAUUUUCCUUCCUCAAUCAUCGGAGAGCUCUCUUUGGGCUUUCCGAAAAGGUAUCUCAUGCCAAGUUUGGCCUCACGAACUAAAAGUUAUAGAGUCAUACAUUUUUAACAAAACAAAAUAGAGAAAAACCGAAAAAAGAGGGAUGCAACACAAGGACUUUCCGGGAGGUCACCCAUCCUAGUACUACUCUCGCCCAAGCACCCUUAACUGCGGAGUUCUGAUGGGAUCCAGUGCAUUAGUGCUGGUAUGAUCGCAUGUGUUACUACAUGCAAUGUAAUCGUAUCUAUUCUUUUUUAAAGAUUUUAUGAUCCAUUUGCCGUGGGUCCCACCAGCUAUGUAGGAAUACCCUAUCUUCUUUAUAAGAGCUUUGAUACAUACAAAAUAUUGGAUCACAAUGUCAGAACAUAUAAUUUUCCCCCCUUAAUAUAGCAAAGUUCACUAAAAGGCCCGAAAAAAUACAUUUAGUUCAAAAUUUGGAGUAGAAAAAAAAACAAUAGAAGAAUUUCAUUUUCCUUCCUCAGUCAUCGGAGAGCUCUCUUUGGGCUUUCCAAAAAGGUAUCACAUGCCAAGUUUGGCCUCACAGUCUAAAAGUUAUAGAGUCAUACAUUUUUAACAAAACAAAAUAGAGAAAAACCGAAAAAAGAGGGAUGCAACACGAGGACUUUCCCGGAGGUAAUCUAUCCUAGUACUACUCUCGCCCAAGCACCCUUAACUGCGGAGUUCUGAUGGGAUCCGGUGCAGUAGUGCUGGUAUGAUCGCAUGUGUUACUACAUGCAAUGUAAUCGUAUCUAUUCUUUUUUAAAGACUUUAUGAUCCAUUUGCCGUGAGUCCCACCAGCUAUGUAGGAAUAUUCUAUCUUCUUUAUAAGAGCUUUGAUACAUGCAAAAUACUGGAAAACAAUGUCCGAACAUAUAAUUUUCCCCACGUAAUAUAGCAAAGAUCACGAAAAGGCCCGAAAAAGUACAUUUAGUUCAAAAUUUGGAGUAGAAAAAAAAACAAUAGAAGAAUUUCAUUUUCCUUCCUCAGUCAUCGGAGAGCUCUCUUUGGGCUUUCCAAAAAGGUAUCACAUGCCAAGUUUGGCCUCACAGUCUAAAAGUUAUAGAGUCAUACAUUUUUAACAAAACAAAAUAGAGAAAAACCGAAAAAAAAGAGGGAUGCAACACGAGGACUUUCUGGGAGGUAAUCUAUCCUAGUACUACUCUCGCCCAAGCACCCUUAACUGCGGAGUUCUGAUGGGAUCCGGUGCAGUAGUGCUGGUAUGAUCGCAUGUGUUACUACAUGCAAUGUAAUCGUAUCUAUUCUUUUUUAAAGACUUUAUGAUCCAUUUGCCGUGAGUCCCACCAGCUAUGUAGGAAUAUUCUAUCUUCUUUAUAAGAUCUUUGAUACAUGCAAAAUACUGGAAAACAAUGUCCGAACAUAUAAUUUUCCCCCCGUAAUAUAGCAAAGAUCACGAAAAGGCCCAGAAAAGUACAUUUAGUUCAAAAUUUGGAGUAGAAAAAAAAACAAUAGAAGAAUUCCAUUUUCCUUCCUCAAUCAUCGGAGAGCUCUCUUUGGGCUUUCCGAAAAGGUAUCUCAUGCCAAGUUUGGCCUCACGAACUAAAAGUUAUAGAGUCAUACAUUUUUAACAAAACAAAAUAGAGAAAAACCGAAAAAAGAGGGAUGCAACACAAGGACUUUCCGGGAGGUCACCCAUCCUAGUACUACUCUCGCCCAAGCACCCUUAACUGCGGAGUUCUGAUGGGAUCCAGUGCAUUAGUGCUGGUAUGAUCGCAUGUGUUACUACAUGCAAUGUAAUCGUAUCUAUUCUUUUUUAAAGAUUUUAUGAUCCAUUUGCCGUGGGUCCCACCAGCUAUGUAGGAAUACCCUAUCUUCUUUAUAAGAGCUUUGAUACAUACAAAAUAUUGGAUCACAAUGUCAGAACAUAUAAUUUUCCCCCCUUAAUAUAGCAAAGUUCACUAAAAGGCCCGAAAAAAUACAUUUAGUUCAAAAUUUGGAGUAGAAAAAAAAACAAUAGAAGAAUUUCAUUUUCCUUCCUCAGUCAUCGGAGAGCUCUCUUUGGGCUUUCCAAAAAGGUAUCACAUGCCAAGUUUGGCCUCACAGUCUAAAAGUUAUAGAGUCAUACAUUUUUAACAAAACAAAAUAGAGAAAAACCGAAAAAAAGAGGGAUGCAACACGAGGACUUUCUGGGAGGUAAUCUAUCCUAGUACUACUCUCGCCCAAGCACCCUUAACUGCGGAGUUCUGAUGGGAUCCGGUGCAGUAGUGCUGGUAUGAUCGCAUGUGUUACUACAUGCAAUGUAAUCGUAUCUAUUCUUUUUUAAAGACUUUAUGAUCCAUUUGCCGUGAGUCCCACCAGCUAUGUAGGAAUAUUCUAUCUUCUUUAUAAGAGCUUUGAUACAUGCAAAAUACUGGAAAACAAUGUCCGAACAUAUAAUUUUCCCCCCGUAAUAUAGCAAAGAUCACGAAAAGGCCCGAAAAAGUACAUUUAGUUCAAAAUUUGGAGUAGAAAAAAAAACAAUAGAAGAAUUCCAUUUUCCUUCCUCAAUCAUCGGAGAGCUCUCUUUGGGCUUUCCGAAAAGGUAUCUCAUGCCAAGUUUGGCCUCACGAACUAAAAGUUAUAGAGUCAUACAUUUUUAACAAAACAAAAUAGAGAAAAACCGAAAAAAGAGGGAUGCAACACAAGGACUUUCCGGGAGGUCACCCAUCCUAGUACUACUCUCGCCCAAGCACCCUUAACUGCGGAGUUCUGAUGGGAUCCAGUGCAUUAGUGCUGGUAUGAUCGCAUGUGUUACUACAUGCAAUGUAAUCGUAUCUAUUCUUUUUUAAAGAUUUUAUGAUCCAUUUGCCGUGGGUCCCACCAGCUAUGUAGGAAUACCCUAUCUUCUUUAUAAGAGCUUUGAUACAUACAAAAUAUUGGAUCACAAUGUCAGAACAUAUAAUUUUCCCCCCUUAAUAUAGCAAAGUUCACUAAAAGGCCCGAAAAAAUACAUUUAGUUCAAAAUUUGGAGUAGAAAAAAAAACAAUAGAAGAAUUUCAUUUUCCUUCCUCAGUCAUCGGAGAGCUCUCUUUGGGCUUUCCAAAAAGGUAUCACAUGCCAAGUUUGGCCUCACAGUCUAAAAGUUAUAGAGUCAUACAUUUUUAACAAAACAAAAUAGAGAAAAACCGAAAAAAAGAGGGAUGCAACACGAGGACUUUCUGGGAGGUAAUCUAUCCUAGUACUACUCUCGCCCAAGCACCCUUAACUGCGGAGUUCUGAUGGGAUCCGGUGCAGUAGUGCUGGUAUGAUCGCAUGUGUUACUACAUGCAAUGUAAUCGUAUCUAUUCUUUUUUAAAGACUUUAUGAUCCAUUUGCCGUGAGUCCCACCAGCUAUGUAGGAAUAUUCUAUCUUCUUUAUAAGAGCUUUGAUACAUGCAAAAUACUGGAAAACAAUGUCCGAACAUAUAAUUUUCCCCCCGUAAUAUAGCAAAGAUCACGAAAAGGCCCGAAAAAGUACAUUUAGUUCAAAAUUUGGAGUAGAAAAAAAAACAAUAGAAGAAUUCCAUUUUCCUUCCUCAAUCAUCGGAGAGCUCUCUUUGGGCUUUCCGAAAAGGUAUCUCAUGCCAAGUUUGGCCUCACGAACUAAAAGUUAUAGAGUCAUACAUUUUUAACAAAACAAAAUAGAGAAAAACCGAAAAAAGAGGGAUGCAACACAAGGACUUUCCGGGAGGUCACCCAUCCUAGUACUACUCUCGCCCAAGCACCCUUAACUGCGGAGUUCUGAUGGGAUCCGGUGCAUUAGUGCUGGUAUGAUCGCCCGUGUUACUACAUGCAAUGCAAUCGUAUCUAUUCUUUUUUAAAGAUUUUAUGAUCCAUUUGCCGUGGGUCCCACCAGCUAUGUAGGAAUACCCUAUCUUCUUUAUAAGAGGUUUGAUACAUACAAAAUAUUGGAUCACAAUGUCAGAACAUAUAAUUUUCCCCCCUUAAUAUAGCAAAGAUCACUAAAAGGCCCGAAAAAAUACAUUUAGUUCAAAAUUUGGAGUAGAAAAAAAAACAAUAGAAGAAUUCCAUUUUCCUUCCUCAGUUAUCGGAGAACUCUCUUUGGGCUUUCCGAAAAGGUAUCACAUGCCAAGUUUGGCCUCACGGUCUAAAAGAUAUAGAGUCAUACAUUAUUAACAAAACAAAAUAGAGAAAAACCGAAAAAAAGAAGGAUGCAACACGAGGACUUUGCGGGAGGUAAUCUAUCCUAGUACUACUCUCGCCCAAGCACCCUUAACUGCGGAGUUCUGAUGGGAUCCGGUGCAUUAGUGCUGGUAUGAUCGCAUGUGUUACUACAUGCAAUGUAAUCGUAUCUAUUCUUUUUUAAAGACUUUAUGAUCCAUUUGCCGUGGGUCCNNNNNNNNNNNNNNNNNNNNNNNNNNNNNNNNNNNNNNNNNNNNNNNNNNACAUGCCAAGUUUGGCCUUACGGUCUAAAAGUUAUAGAGUAAUACANUUUUUAACAAAAAAAAAAGAAAAAAACCGAAAACAAAGAGGGAUGCAACACGAAGACUUUCCUGGAGGUCACCCAUCCUAGUACUACUCUCGCCCAAGCACACUUAACUGCGGUGUUCUGAUAGGAUCAAGUGCAUUAGUGCUGGUAUGAUCGCAUCAGUUACUACAUGCAAUGCAAUCAUAUAUAUUCUUUUUUGAAGACUUUAUGAUCCAUUUGCCGUAGGUCCCACCAGCUAUGUAGGAAUACCCUAUCUCGUUUAUAAGAGCUUUGAUACAUGCAAAAUAUUCGAAAACAAUGUCCGAACAUAUAAUUUUUGUCCCGUAAUAUAGCAAAGAUCGCGAAAAGGCCAUAAAAAAUACAUUUCGGUCAAAAUUUGGAGUAGAAAAAAAACCCUUCCUCAUUCAUUGGACAGCUCUCUUUGGGCUUUCCGAAAAGGUAUCACAUGCCAAGUUUGGCCUCACGGUCUAAACCUUAUAGACUCAUACAUUUUUCACAAAAAAAAGAAGAGAAAAACCAAAAAAAAGAGUGAUUAAACACGAGGACUUUCCUGGAGGUCACCCAUCCUAGUACUACUCUCGCCCAAGCACGCUUAACUGCGAAGUUCUGAUGGGAUCUGGUGCAUUAGUGCUGGUAUGAUCGCAUCUGUUACUACAUGCAAUGCAAUCGUAUUUAUUCUUUUUUGAAGAUUUUAUGAUUCAUUUACCGUGGGUCCCACCAGCUAUGUAGGAAUAACCUAUCUUAUUUAUAAAAGCUUUGAUACAUGCAAAAUAUUAGAAAACAAUGUCCGAACAUAUAAUGUUCGCCCCAAAAUAUAGCAAAGACCACAAAAAUGCCAUAAAAAGUACAUUAAGGUCAAAAUUUGGAGUAGGAAAAAAAUCAAUAGGAGAAUUCCAUUUUCCUUCCUUCAUUCAUCGGAGAGCUCUCUUUGGGCAUUCCAAAAAGGUAUCACAUGCCAAGUUUGGCCUCACGGUCUAAAAGUUAUAGAGUAAUACAUUUUUAACAAAAAAAAAAGAAAAAAACCGAAAACAAAGAGGGAUGCAACACGAAGACUUUCCUGGAGGUCACCCAUCCUAGUACUACUCUCGCCCAAGCACACUUAACUGCGGUGUUCUGAUAGGAUCAAGUGCAUUAGUGCUGGUAUGAUCGCAUCAGUUACUACAUGCAAUGCAAUCAUAUAUAUUCUUUUUUGAAGACUUUAUGAUCCAUUUGCCGUAGGUCCCACCAGCUAUGUAGGAAUACCCUAUCUCGUUUAUAAGAGCUUUGAUACAUGCAAAAUAUUCGAAAACAAUGUCCGAACAUAUAAUUUUUGUCCCGUAAUAUAGCAAAGAUCACGAAAAGGCCAGAAAAAAUACAUUUCGGUCAAAAUUUGGAGUAGAAAAAAAACCCUUCCUCAUUCAUUGGACAGCUCUUUUUGGGCUUUCCGAAAAGGUAUCACAUGCCAAGUUUGGCCUCACGGUCUAAACCUUAUAGACUCAUACAUUUUUCACAAAAAAAAGAAGAGAAAAACCAAAAAAAAGAGUGAUUAAACACGAGGACUUUCCUGGAGGUCACCCAUCCUAGUACUACUCUCGCCCAAGCACGCUUAACUGCGAAGUUCUGAUGGGAUCUGGUGCAUUAGUGCUGGUAUGAUCGCAUCUGUUACUACAUGCAAUGCAAUCGUAUCUAUUCUUUUUUGAAGAUUUUAUGAUUCAUUUACCGUGGGUCCCACCAGCUAUGUAGGAAUAACCUAUCUUAUUUAUAAAAGCUUUGAUACAUGCAAAAUAUUCGAAAACAAUGUCCGAACAUAUAAUGUUCGCCCCAAAAUAUAGCAAAGACCACAAAAAUGCCAUAAAAAGUACAUUAAGGUCAAAAUUUGGAGUAGGAAAAAAAUCAAUAGGAGAAUUCCAUUUUCCUUCCCUCAUUCAUCGGAGAGCUCUCUUUGGGCAUUCCAAAAAGGUAUCACAUGCCAAGUUUGGCCUCACGGUCUAAAAGUUAUAGAGUAAUACAUUUUUAACAAAAACAAAAGAAAAAAACCGAAAACAAAGAGGGAUGCAACACGAAGACUUUCCUGGAGGUCACCCAUCCUAGUACUACUCUCGCCCAAGUACACUUAACUGCGGUGUUCUGAUAGGAUCAAGUGCAUUAGUGCUGGUAUGAUCGCAUCAGUUACUACAUGCAAUGCAAUCAUAUAUAUUCUUUUUUGAAGACUUUAUGAUCCAUUUGCCGUAGGUCCCACCAGCUAUGUAGGAAUACCCUAUCUUGUUUAUAAGAGCUUUCAUACAUGCAAAAUAUUCAAAAACAAUGUCCGAACAUAUAAUUUUUGUCCCGUAAUAUAGCAAAGAUCACGAAAAGGCCAGAAAAAAUACAUUUCGGUCAAAAUUUGGAGUAGAAAAAAAACCCUUCCUCAUUCAUUGGACAGCUCUCUUUGGGCUUUCUGAAAAGGUAUCACAUGCCAAGUUUGGCCUCACGGUCUAAACCUUAUAGACUCAUACAUUUUUCACAAAAAAAAGAAGAGAAAAACCAAAAAAAAGAGUGAUUAAACACGAGGACUUUCCUGGAGGUCACCCAUCCUAGUACUACUCUCGCCCAAGCACGCUUCACUGCGAAGUUCUGAUGGGAUCUGGUGCAUUAGUGCUGGUAUGAUCGCAUCUGUUACUACAUGCAAUGCAAUCGUAUCUAUUCUUUUUUGAAGAUUUUAUGAUUCAUUUACCGUGGGUCCCACCAGAUAGGAAUAACCUAUCUUAUUUAUAAAAGCUUUGAUACAUGCAAAAUAUUCGAAAACAAUGUCCGAACAUAUAAUGUUCGCCCCAAAAUAUAGCAAAGACCACAAAAAUGCAAUAAAAAGUACAUUAAGGUCAAAAUUUGGAGUAGGAAAAAAAUCAAUAGGAGAAUUCCAUUUUCCUUCCCUCAUUUAUCGGAGAGCUCUCUUUGGGCAUUCCAAAAAGGUAUCACAUGCCAAGUUUGGCCUCACGGUCUAAAAGUUAUAGAGUAAUACAUUUUUAACAAAACAAAAAAGAAAAAAACCGAAAACAAAGAGGGAUGCAACACGAAGACUUUCCUGGAGGUCACCCAUCCUAGUACUACUCUCGCCCAAGCACACUUAACUGCGGUGUUCUGAUAGGAUCAAGUGCAUUAGUGCUGGUAUGAUCGCAUCAGUUACUACAUGCAAUGCAAUCAUAUAUAUUCUUUUUUGAAGACUUUAUGAUCCAUUUGCCGUAGGUCCCACCAGCUAUGUAGGAAUACCCUAUCUUGUUUAUAAGAGCUUUGAUACAUGCAAAAUAUACGAAAACAAUGUCCGAACAUAUAAUUUUUGUCCCGUAAUAUAGCAAAAAGGCCAGAAAAAAUACAUUUCGGUCAAAAUUUGGAGUAGAAAAAAAACCCUUCCUCAUUCAUUGGACAGCUCUCUUUGGGCUUUCCGAAAAGGUAUCACAUGCCAAGUUUGGCCUCACGGUCUAAACCUUAUAGGCUCAUACAUUUUUCACAAAAAAAAGAAAAGAAAAACCAAAAAAAAGAGUGAUUAAACACGAGGACUUUCCGGGAGGUCACCCAUCCUAGUACUACUCUCGCCGAAGCACGCUUAACUGCGAAGUUCUGAUGGGAUCUGGUGCAUUAGUGCUGGUAUGAUCGCAUCUGUUACUACAUGCAAUGCAAUCGUAUCUAUUCUUUUUUGAAGAUUUUAUGAUUCAUUUACCGUGGGUCCCACCAGCUAUGUAGGAAUAACCUAUCUUAUUUAUAAAAGCUUUGAUACAUGCAAAAUAUUCGAAAACAAUGUCCGAACAUAUAAUGUUCGCCCCAAAAUAUAGCAAAGACCACAAAAAUGCCAUAAAAAGUACAUUAAGGUCAAAAUUUGGAGUAGGAAAAAAAUCAAUAGGAGAAUUCCAUUUUCCUUCCCUCAUUCAUCGGAGAGCUCUCUUUGGGCAUUCCAAAAAGGUAUCACAUGCCAAGUUUGGCCUCACGGUCUAANAGUUAUAGAGUAAUACAUUUUUAACAAAAAAAAAAGAAAAAAACCGAAAACAAAGAGGGAUGCAACACGAAGACUUUCCUGGAGGUCACCCAUCCUAGUACUACUCUCGCCCAAGUACACUUAACUGCGGUGUUCUGAUAGGAUCAAGUGCAUUAGUGCUGGUAUGAUCGCAUCAGUUACUACAUGCAAUGCAAUCAUAUAUAUUCUUUUUUGAAGACUUUAUGAUCCAUUUGCCGUAGGUCCCACCAGCUAUGUAGGAAUACCCUAUCUUGUUUAUAAGAGCUUUGAUACAUGCAAAAUAUUCGAAAACAAUGUCCGAACAUAUAAUUUUUGUCCCGUAAUAUAGCAAAGAUCACGAAAAGGCCAGAAAAAAUACAUUUCGGUCAAAAUUUGGAGUAGAAAAAAAGCCCUUCCUCAUUCAUUGGACAGCUCUCUUUGGGCUUUCCGAAAAGGUAUCACAUGCCAAGUUUGGCCUCACGGUCUAAACCUUAUAGACUCAUACAUUUUUCACAAAAAAAAGAAGAGAAAAACCAAAAAAAAGAGUGAUUAAACACGAGGAUUUUCCUGGAGGUCACCCAUCCUAGUACUACUCUCGCCCAAGCACGCUUAACUGCGAANNNNNNNNNNNNNNNNNNNNNNNNNNNNNNNNNNNNNNNNNNNNNNNNNNGUGUUACUACAUGCAAUGUAAUCGUAUCUAUUCUUUUUUAAAGACUUUAUGAUCCAUUUGCCGUGGGUCCCACCAGCUAUGUAGGAAUAUCCUAUAUUCUUUAUAAGAGCUUUGAUACAUGCAAAAUAUUCGAAAACAAUGUCCGAACAUAUAAUUUCCCCCCCGUAAUAUAGCAAAGAUCACGAAAAGGCCCAAAAAAGUACAUUAAGUUUAAAAUUUGGAGUAGAAAAAAAACCAAUAGAAAAAUUCCAUUUUCCUUCCUCAGUCAUCGAAGAGCUCUCUUUGGGCUUUCUGAAAAGGUAUCACAUGCCAAGUUUGGCCUCACGGUCUAAAAGUUAUAGAGUCAUACAUUUUUAACAAAACAAAAAGAGAAAAACCGAAAAAAACAGGGAUGCAACACGAGGACUUUCCUGGAGGUCUCCCAUCCUAGUACUACUCUCGCCCAAGCACCCUUAACUGCGUAGUUCUGAUGGGAUCCGAUGCAUUAGUGCUGGUAUGAUCGCAUCUGUUACUACAUGCAAUGUAAUCGUAUCUAUUCUUUUUUAAAGACNUUUAUGAUCCAUUUGCCGUGGGUCCCACCAGCUAUGUAGGAAUACCCUAUCUUCUUAAUAAGAGCCUUGAUAAAUGCAAAAUAUUGGAAAACAAUGUCCGAACAUAUAAUGCCCCCCCCCCCGUAAUAUAGCAAAGAUCACGAAAAUGCCCAAAAAAGUACAUUUAGGUCAAAAUUUGAGUAGAAAAAAAAACAAUAGAAGAAUUCCAUUUUCCUUCCUCAUUUAUCGGAGAGCUCUCUUUGGGCUUUCCGAAAAGGUAUCACAUGACAAGUUUGGCCUCACGGUCUAAAAGAUAUAGAGUCAUACAUUAUUAACAAAACAAAAUAGAGAAAAACCGAAAAAAAAGAGGGAUGCAACGCGAGGACUUUCCGGGAGGUAAUCUAUCCUAGUACUACUCUCGCCCAAGCACCCUUACCUGCGGAGUUCUGAUGGGAUCCGGUGCAGUAGUGCUGGUAUGAUCGCAUGUGUUACUACAUGCAAUGCAAUCAUAUAUAUUCUUUUUUGAAGACUUUAUGAUCCAUUUGCCGUAGGUCCCACCAGCUAUGUAGGAAUACCCUAUCUUGUUUAUAAGAGCUUUGAUACAUGCAAAAUAUUCGAAAACAAUGUCCGAACAUAUAAUUUUUGUCCCGUAAUAUAGCAAAGAUCACGAAAAGGCCAGAAAAAAUACAUUUCGGUCAAAAUUUGGAGUAGAAAAAAACCCCUUCCUCAUUCAUUGGACAGCUCUCUUUGGGCUUUCCGAAAAGGUAUCACAUGCCAAGUUUGGUCUCACGGUUUAAAAGUUAUAGAGUCAUACAUUUUUCACAAAAAAAAGAAGAGAAAAAACAAAAAAAAGAGUGAUGAAACACGAGGACUUUCCUAGAGGUCACCCAUCCUAGUACUACUCUCGCCCAAGCACGCGUAACUGCGAAGUUCUGAUGGGAUCUGGUGCAUUAGUGCUGGUAUGAUCGCAUCUGUUACUACAUGCAAUGCAAUCGUAUCUAUUCUUUUUUGAAGAUUUUAUGAUCCAUUUGCAGUGGGUCCCACCAGCUAUGUAGGAAUACCCUAUCUUGUUUAUAAGAGCUUUGAUACAUGCAAAAUCUUCGAAAACAAUGUCCGAACAUAUAAUUUUCGCCCCGUAAUAUAGCAAAGAUCACGAAAAUGCCAAAAUAGUACAUUAAGGUCAAAAUUUGGAGUAGGAAAAAAAACCCUUCAUCAUUCAUUGGAGAGCUCUCUCUGGGCUUUCCGAAAAGGUAUCACAUGCCAAGUUUGGCCUCACGGUCUAAAAGUUAUAAAGUCAUACAUUUUUAACAAAAAAAAAAGAGAAAAACCGAAAAAAAGAGUUAUGUAACACGAGGACUUUCCUGGAGGUCACCCGUCCUAGUACUACUCUCGCCCAAACACGCUUAACUGUGGUGUUCUGAUAGGAUCAAGUGCAUUAGUGCUGGUAUGAUCGCAUCAGUUACUACAUGCAAUGCAAUCAUAUAUAUUCUUUUUUGAAAACUUUAUGAUCCAUUUGCCGUAGGUCCCACCAGCUAUGUCGGAAUACCCUAUCUUGUUUAUAAGAGCUUUGAUACAUGCAAAAUAUUCGAAAACAAUGUCCGAACAUAUAAUUUUUGUCCCGUAAUAUAGCAAAGAUCACGAAAAGGCCAAAAAAAAUACAUUUCGGUCAAAAUUUGGAGUAGAAAAAAACCCCUUCCUCAUUCAUUCGACAACUCUCUUUGGGCUUUCCGAAAAGGUAUCACAUGCCAAGUUUGGUCUCACGGUCUAAAAGUUAUAGAGUCAUACAUUUUUCACAAAAAAAAGAAGAGAAAAAACCAAAAAAAGAGUGAUGAAACACGAGGACUUUCCUGGAGGUCACUCAUGCUAGUACUACUCUCGCCCAAGCACGCUUAACUGCGAAGUUCUGAUGGGAUCUGGUGCAUUGGUGAUGGUAUGAUCGCAUCUGUUACUACAUGCAAUGCAAUCGUAUCUAUUUUUUUUUGAAGAUUUUAUGAUCCAUUUGCAGUGUGUCCCACCAGCUAUGUAGGAAUACCCUAUCUUGUUUAUAAGAGCUUUGAUACAUGCAAAAUAUUCGAAAACAAUGUCCGAACAUAUAAUUUUUGUCCCGUAAUAUAGCAAAGAUCACGAAAAGACCAGAAAAAAUACAUUUCGGUCAAAAUUUGGAGUAGAAAAAAAACCCUUCCUCAUUCAUUGGACAGCUCUCUUUGGGCUUUCCGAAAAGGUAUCACAUGCCAAGUUUGGUCUCACGGUUUAAAAGUUAUAGAGUCAUACAUUUUUCACAAAAAAAAGAAGAGAAAAAACAAAAAAAAGAGUGAUGAACCACGAGGACUUUCCUGGAGGUCACCCAUCCUAGUACUACUCUCGCCCAAGCACGCGUAACUGCGAAGUUCUGAUGGGAUCUGGUGCAUUAGUGCUGGUAUGAUCACAUCUGUUACUACAUGCAAUGCAAUCGUAUCUAUUCUUUUUUGAAGAUUUUAUGAUCCAUUUGCAGUGGGUCCCACCAGCUAUGUAGGAAUACCCUAUCUUGUUUAUAAGAGCUUUGAUACAUGCAAAAUCUUCGAAAACAAUGUCCGAACAUAUAAUUUUCGCCCCGUAAUAUAGCAAAGAUCACGAAAAUGCCAAAAUAGUACAUUUAGGUCAAAAUUUGGAGUAGGAAAAAAAAACCUUCAUCAUUCAUUGGAUAGCUCUCUCUGGGCUUUUCGAAAAGGUAUCACAUGCCAAGUUUGGCCUCACGGUCUAAAAGUUAUAAAGUCAUACAUUUUUAACAAAAAAAAAAGAGAAAAACCGAAAAAAAGAGUUAUGAACCACGAGGACUUUCCUGGAGGUCACCCGUCCUAGUACUACUCUCGCCCAAACACGCUUAACUGCGGUGUUCUGAUAGGAUCAAGUGCAUUAGUGCUGGUAUGAUCGCAUCAGUUACUACAUGCAAUGCAAUCAUAUAUAUUCUUUUUUGAAGACUUUAUGAUCCAUUUGCCGUAGGUCCCACCAGCUAUGUAGGAAUACCCUAUCUUGUUUAUAAGAGCUUUGAUACAUGCAAAAUAUUCGAAAACAAUGUCCGAACAUAUAAUUUUUGUCCCGUAAUAUAGCAAAGAUCACGAAAAGGCCAAAAAAAAUACAUUUCGGUCAAAAUUUGGAGUAGAAAAAAACCCCUUCCUCAUUCAUUGGACAGCUCUCUUUGGGCUUUCCGAAAAGGUAUCACAUGCCAAGUUUGGUCUCACGGUCUAAAAGUUAUAGAGUCAUACAUUUUUCAGAAAAAAAAGAAGAGAAAAAACCAAAAAAAGAGUGAUGAAACACGAGGACUUUCUUGGAGGCCACCCAUCCUAGUACUACUCUCGCCCAAGCACGCUUAACUGCGAAGUUCUGAUGGGAUCUGGUGCAUUAGUGAUGGUAUGAUCGCAUCUGUUACUACAUGCAAUGCAAUCGUAUCUAUUCUUUUUUGAAGAUUUUAUGAUCCAUUUGCAGUGGGUCCCACCAGCUAUGUAGGAAUACCCUAUCUUGUUUAUAAGAGCUUUGAUACAUGCAAAAUAUUCGAAAACAAUGUCCGAACAUAUAAUUUUCGCCCCGUAAUAUAGCAAAGAUCACGAAAAUGCCGAAAUAGUACAUUAAGGUCAAAAUUUGGAGUAGGAAAAAAAAACCUUCCUCAUUCAUUGGAGAGCUCUCUUUGGGUUUUCCGAAAAGGUAUCACAUGCCAAGUUUGGCCUCACGGUCUAAAAGUUAUAAAGUCAUACAUUUUUAACAAAAAAAAAAAGAGAAAAACCGAAAAAAAGAGUUAUGCAACACGAGGACUUUCCUGGAGGUCACCCGUCCUAGUACUACUCUCGCCCAAACACGCUUAACUACGGUGUUCUGAUAGGAUCAAGUGCAUUAGUGCUGGUAUGAUCGCAUCAGUUACUACAUGCAAUGCAAUCAUAUAUAUUCUUUUUUGAAGACUUCAUGAUCCAUUUGCCGUAGGUCCCACCAGCUAUGUAGGAAUACCCUAUCUUGUUUAUAAGAGCUUUGAUACAUGCAAAAUAUUCGAAAACAAUGUCCGAACAUAUAAUUUUUGUCCCGUAAUAUAGCAAAGAUCACGAAAAGGCCAGAAAAAAUAAAUUUCGGUCAAAAUUUAGAGUAGAAAAAAACCCCUUCCUCAUUCAUUGGACAACUCUCUUUGGGCUUUCCGAAAAGGUAUCACAUGCCAAGUUUGGCCUCACGGUCUAAAAGUUAUAGAGUCAUACAUUUUUCACAAAAAAAAGAAGAGAAAAACCAAAAAAAAGAGUGAUGAAACACGAGGACUUUCCUGGAGGUCACCCAUCCUAGUACUACUCUCGCCCAAGCACGCUUAACGGCGGUGUUCUGAUAGGAUCAAUUACAUUUGUGCUGGUAUGAUCGCAUCAGUUACUACAUGCAAUGCGAUCAUAUAUAUUCUUUUUUGAAGACUUUACAAUCCAUUUGUCGUAGGUCCCACCAGCUAUGUAGGAAUCCCCUAUCUUGUUUAUAAGAGCUUUGAUACAUGCAAAAUAUUCGAAAACAAUGUUCGAACAUAUAAUUUUUCGCCCCGUAAUAUAGCAAAGAUCACGAAAAGGCCAGAAAAAGUACAUUUAGGUCAAAAUUUGGAGUAGAAAAAACCCCCCCUUCCUCAUUCAUUGGAGAGCUCUCUUUGGGCUUUCCGGAAAGGUAUCACAUGCCAAGUUUGGCCUCACGGUCUAAACCUUAUAGACUCAUACAUUUUUAACAAAAAAAAGAAGAGAAAAAACGAAAAAAAGAAGGAUACAACACGAGGACUUUCCGAGAGGUUACCCAUCUUCGUACUACUCUCGCACAAGUACGCUUAACUGCGGAGUUCUGAUGGGAUCUGGUGCAUUAGUGCUGGUAUGAUCGCAUCUGUUAUUACAUGCAAUGCAAUCGUAUCUAUUCUUUUUUCAAGACUUUAUGAUCCAUUUGCCGUGGGUCCCACCAGCUACGUAGGAAUACCCUAUCUUGUUUAUAAGAGCUUUGAUACAUGCAAAAUAUUCGAAAACAAUGUCCGAACAUAUAAUUUUCGUCCCGUAAUAUAGCAAAGAUCACAAAAAGGCCAGAAAGAGUACAUUUACGUCAAAAUUUGGAUAGAAAAAAAACAAAUAGAAGAAUUCCAUUUUGACUUCCUCAUUCAUCGGAAAGCUCUCUUUGGGCUUUCCGAAAAGGUAUCACAUGCCAAGUUUGGAAUCACGGUUUAAAAGUUAUAGAGUCAUACAUUUUUAACAAAAAAUAAAGAGAAAACCCGAAAAAUGAGGGAUGCAACACGAGGACUUUUCGGGAGGUCACCCAUCGUAGUACUACUCUCGCCCAAGCACGCUUAACUGUAGAGUUCUGAUGGGAUCCGGUUCAUUAUUGCUGGUAUGAUCGCAUCCGUUACUACAUGCAAUGCAAUCGUAUCUAUUCUUUUUUGAAGACUUUAUGAUCCAUUUGCCGUGGGUCCCACCAGCUAUGUUGGAAUACCCUAUCUUGUUUAUAAGAGCUUUGUUACAUGCAAAAUAUUCGAAAACAAUGUCCGAACAUAUAAUAUUUGCCCCGUAAUAUAGCAAAGAUCACGAAAAGGCCAGAAAACCUAUAUUAAGUUCAAAAUUUGGAGUAGAAAAAAACCAAUAGAAGAAUUCCAUUUUCCUUCCUCACUCAUCGGAGAGCUCUCUUUGGGGCUUUCCGAAAAGGUAUCACAUGCAAAGUUUGGCCUCACAGGCUAAAAGUUAUAGAGUCGUACAUUUUUAACAAAAAAAAAAAGAGAAAAGCCGAAAAAAAGAAGGAUGCAACACAAGGACUUUCCGGGAGGUCAGCCAUCCUAAUAUUACUCUCGCCCAAGCACGCUUAACUGUAGAGUUCUGAUGGGAUCCGGUGCAUUAGUGCUGGUAUGAUCGCAUCUGUUACUACAUGCAAUGCAAUCGUAUCUAUUCUUUUUUUAAGACUUUAUGAUCCAUUUACCGUGGGUCCCACCAGCUACGUAGGAAUAACCUAUCUUAUUUAUAAGAGCUUUGAUACAUGCAAAAUAUUCGAAAACAAUGUCCGAACAUAUAAUUUUCGUCCCGUAAUAUAGCAAAGAUCACAAAAAGGCCAGAAAGAGUACAUUAAGGUCAAAAUUUUGGAGUAGAAAAAAAAACCCUUCCUCAUUCAUUAAAGAGCUCUCUUUGGCAUUUCCGAAAAGGUGUCACAUGCCAAGUUCGGCCUCACGGUCUAAAAGUUAUAGAGUCAUACAUUGUUAACAAAAAAAAAGAGAAAAACCGAUUAAAAGAGUUAUGCAACACAAGGACUUUCCUGGAGGUCACCCGUCCUAGUACUACUCUCGCCCAAGCACGCUUAAAUGCGGAGUUCUGAUGGGAUCCGGUCCAUGAGUGGUGGUAUGAUCACAUCCGUUACUACAUGCAAUGCAAUCGUAUCUAUUAUUUUUUGAAGACUUUAUGAUCCAUUUGCCGUGGGUCCCACCAGCUAUGUAGGAAUACCCUAUCUUGUUUAUAAGAGCUUUGAUACAUCCAAAAUAUUCGAAAACAAUGUUGGAACGUAUAAGUUUCGCUCAGUAAUAUAGCAAAGAUCACGAAAAGGCCACAAAAAGUACAUUAAGGUAAAAAUUUAGAGUAGGAAAAAAAAACAAUAGGAGAAUUCCAUGUUCCUUCCUCAAUCAUCGGAGAGCUCUCUUUGGGCUUUCCAAAAAGGUAUCACAUGCCAAGUUUGGCCUCACGGUCUAAAAGUUAUAGAGUCAUACAUUUUUAACAAAAAAAAAUAGAGAAAAACCAAAAAAAAGAGGGAUGCAACACGAAGACUUUCCUGGAGGUCACCCAUCCUAGUACUACUCUCGCCCAAGCACGCUUAACUGCGGUGUUCUGAUAGGAUCAAGUGCAUUAGUGCUGGUAGGAUCGCAUUCGUUACUACAUGCAAUGCAAUUAUAUAUAUUCUUUUUUGAAGACUUUAUGAUCCAUUUGCGGUAGGUCCCACCAGCUAUGUAGGAAUACCCUAUCUUGCUUAUAAGAGUUUUGAUACAUGCAAAAAUAUUCGAAAACAAUGUCCGAACAUAUAAUUUUUGUCCCGUAAUAUAACAAAGAUCACGAAAAGGCCAAAAAUAGUACAUUUCGGUCAAAACAUGGAGCAGAAAAAAAACCCCUUCCUCAUUCAUCGGAGAGCUCUCAUUGGGCUUUCCGAAAAGAUAUCACAUGCAAAGUUUGGCCUCACGGUUUAAAAGUUAUAGAGUCAAAUAUUUUUAACAAAAAAAAGAGAGAAAAACCGAAAACAAAGAGGGAUGCAACACGAGGACUUUCCGGAAGGUCACCCAUCCUAGUACUACUCUAGCCCAAGCACGCUUAACCGCGGAGUUCUGAUAGGAUCCGGUGCAUUAGUGCUGGUAUGAUCGCAUCAGUUACUACAUGCAAUGCAAUCAUAUAUAUUUUUUUUGAAGACUUUAUGAUCCAUUUGCCGUGGGUCCCACCAGCUAUGUAGGAAUACCUAUCUUGUUUAUAAGAGCUUUGAUACAUGCAAAAUAUUUGAAAACAAUGUCCGAACGUAUAAUCUUCGUCCCGUAAUAUAGCAAAGAUCACGAAAAGGCCAGAAAAAGUACAUUAAGGUCAAAAUUUUGACUAGAAAAAAAAAACAAUAGAAAAAUUCCAUUGUCCUUCCUCAUUCAUCGGAGAGUUCUCUUUGGGCUUUCCGAAAAGGUAUCACAUGCCAAGUUUGGCCUCACGGUCUAAAACUUAUAGAAUCAUACAUUCUUAACAAAAAAAAAAAAAAAACCGAAAAAAAGAAGAAUGCAACACAAGGACUUUCCAGGAGGUCAACCAUCCUAGUAGUACUCUCGCCCAAUCACGCUUAACUGCAGAGUUCUGAUGGGAUCCGGUGCAUUAGUGCUGGUAUGAUCGCAUC